RNAcentral lists this long non-coding RNA (66942 nucleotides) under Triticum aestivum (bread wheat). Its description in RNAcentral is "long non-coding RNA (TAES_LNC021807)". The stretch from base 21954 to 22088 matches the Rfam family "MIR1120/MIR1122 microRNA precursor family". Lineage: Eukaryota; Viridiplantae; Streptophyta; Magnoliopsida; Poales; Poaceae. The record is from RNAcentral.
CACCUGAAUGAAUAGAAUGCGCAGAUGCUCAAUACUUGGUGCUAAGUCAAUUGUACCAACAAUGCUAGAAAAAUCUGUUGAUAAGCCAAAAAUUGCUCCUGAUGGGCAGGUCUCAUAUGUAUUGUUCGUUUGUCCACAAUGAAGAAAGCUUAAGGGUAGCCCUUAAACUGAUGGGCACUCUGGAGGUACUAAGAUAAUUUUAUCUAGUCCAUGCUGCAAUAAAGAGUAUUUCCAUUCACUAAGUUAUGAGUUGAUGGCUUUUACAUACGGAUCCCAGCUUAUGGACAAGGCUGAAUGAGCAUCCAAAGCCAAAUGGUUUCCAUAGGCAACAAACCAAACAGAUAAUAAGGUUUCGGAAUAAUCUAUUGACCAAAUUAUGUUAUACAUUGGGGAUGUUCUGUAAGUGAAUUACUUGUACUGACAAAGAAACUCAUAUCAGUUUAAUUAGUGACCGACAUACCUGCAUGCACCUGAUCCUUCCGCCGUUGCUGACGCUGCUGAGGCCGGCGCUGCUGGAGCGGCGGCUGACGGGCAGGCCGGCGGUCGACUUGAGACCCUGGAAGGGUGCGACGGAGGUGGCCGAGGAAGCCAUCACAGUGGGGGCCAUGGUGUUGGAGGAGAGAAGGUGGCAGGCUAAGCUUGGCCCCCAUUGCUGGGUCACCACGGUAUAUAUAGCCAUAUAUGGCCAGCUCCUAUCUUUAAUCAAGAUGUGGAAGGGGUGGCUGGCGUUCGUUGGUUGCUUGGUUUCCUUAUCUCUCCGGAUUAGUGUAAGAGGCAUGGCCGUUGGAUGAGUUGUGUGUGCCCAAAAUUUCAGUCGUCCAUGUCAUUGUGUGAUUGCCACAAUCCUUUUUCCAGCCUUGCAUUACUGUAUUAUUCUUUUCGUUUCAUCUUGCUAAAGGUAACGCUUGAAAGGUGCACGAAGAACUCCCUUUGUUGAUUUGCGAUUUAAGUUCAGUGGCACAGGCAUAACGAAUGUUAUAGUACAUCCUUUAUCCACUUUUAUAAUACAAAACUUGUCAACCAGUUAUGCUUGCUUCUAAUCUUUGGUACUUCAUUUUAUAACAUUUUAUACAGGUAACUAACGUAUACUUGCUGCAUGUAUGAUGUGUGUCAUCAUGACCUUUAUGUACUUUAUUCACAAUUAUUCAUUGGAACACAAAAGUGUUGUACUAUUUUCUACACCUAAUCAUUUACAUGCCUUGGAGGAUUUUUAGUAUAGGAAAUGCUAUUUAACUGGCUGUCCAGGCAAGGUAUAACUUUGUUUUAAUCUAUGAGCUAAAGUUUUAGAUCCCUCUGUUAUCCAUUUGCUCAGUUCAUGCCGUCCCCAGUGAACUCAUAAAUUACAUAUGGUGAGUGAAUAUAGACCACAAAAAAUGGUAGAUGUAUGUUCAUUCAUUUCAUGAUGAUGAAGCAACCUGCAAAAUGAUGGAAUCGACCAUGACUACUCAGUGAUAUGGCAAUCAUGUAGGACGAUCAUCGUGAUCAUCCUCCCGAGUCGUCCCCGUGCGGCGGCUGGGAGUACCCCAGAUCCCGUCGCCCCCGACUCCCCCUCUCGUCCCCUCCUCCCUCACCGCCGCCCGAGGGCGCCGCCGGGCAAAGCCUUGCCGUCGCCGGCGGCGGCAGGGACUAGGUGCCCUCCCGCUCGUGAGGAGCUGGCGCGGACCAGCGCCCCCGGGCUGGAGCGUGGCGUGCAUCUGGAUGUCAUGACGGGGGCUGGCGGCGCUCCUGCGAUCCCAUACCUCAUGGCAGGCGGCUUCAAGAUCUGGGGCGACACGGUUGCCAGGGUCGGCGGCGGUGGCGUGGCCGGAUCUAGGACCAGGUGUGAGCUUGGUCUCCGGGUCACGAUCGGCGCGAUGGCAAGUGCGACAUGUCGGCAGCUGGACGGAUCUGCGGGAUUCCAUCCUUGUCUAGUCCUUGACAACUCGAGCAACUCCGAGGGAAACCCUAGAUCCAUGGGAUCAAGCGAUGGCAGUGCUUUUGCGUCGUAGUCCCUCUUCGGGACAUCAUUUUAGAGUUUGCUAUGGUUGAAGGGACCAGCGAGGCAUGCGGCGUACGCCCGGUGUCGCAACUACCGAUGAAAAUUACGCCAACUACGGUCAUGGCGGACGAUGGCGGCGUCUUUGAUGUCGUUUCCUUGUCGAGACAUCGUCAUUGCAGUUGGCAUCAUCAUGCUCGGGAUGCUCCGGGGGAAACCCUAGAUCUGGGUCUCCCGGAUCGGACGAUAAUAGCGUUCUUAGUAUCGCUUUCCCUCAUCGGGGCAUCGUUUUGGAGCAAGUGAUGGCUGGAGGUGAUAAGAGGAGGAGCGGUGCUUCAUCAUACACAUUGGUGGUGUCGGAUCUCGAUGGCAUGGCACCCUGGAAAUUAGGCGUUUGAUGUGCGAUGAUGGACUCGCGUAGGAGGUCGACGCUCUCUGGCGUCGUGGUGGCAUCGGCGGCAGCUAGACCGGGCAAGGUACAUGCAGUAGUACAACUCUGAAGAUGGAUUGGUGGCAGGUGGCUGCGGCGGCCUCAUACCCGGCAGGCGUCCUGGUUGAGGAGCACGCUGGACUGGUGGGUGCCCAUGCCCGGCAGGAGUCCUGGUUGGGACCUCAGGUCUUAGAUGUUAGGUUUGGCUGCGAUGUCUCUUUGGUAUUAGGCCCAGACUAUCAGCGCCCCUUCAUCAACUGGAUUGGAUUAGCGACAGAUGUUGCUUAGACGGUGGCUUUAGUCUUAUUGUUGUAUGGUUUUGUAAGGUCUUGUGCUAAUAAUUAAUAAAAUGAUUGUAUGCAUCGCCCAGAUGCAGAGGCCGGGGGUCCUUCUCCUUUUCUAAAAAUCUAGUCAUUUAAGGUAGAUGUCGUGAUCUUCUUGUGUGACUGUCUCAUAGAUUUGAGCUGCAAAUCGAAUCUUAUAUUCUUCCAUUUUUUUUGAAUUUCCUGCAUGUAGUUAAUUAUUUUUUAUGAAUCCUUAAUGAUAAUUAACAUGGCCCAGAUAUUCACAAAAUAUCCAUAACUAUCAUGAACGAAUCAAUAAAUUACUAUUGCAGAAUGAAGAAUGAACCUUCCAUAGACCCCUCCACUUGGGCCCGUCGGUAGAGAGAUUCAUCACUCAUGGGCCACAAAAUGCGAGCCAAGUAGGACGACCUUCACUAAUGGGCCCUUAAGUUGGGCAUCAAUGGAGGGGCACCCAUGGGGCCCAAAGAUCCAACUGAAUGGACAGUCCAUCUCUACUGACGGUCAUACCGGAAUUUCCUAACGGACGCACAUUGUGUCAAGUUGCCACUGUUUCGCACAGAUGCCAGCGACUGGCGACCGAGAUGGGCCGGCCCAAUUACGAGCCCACAGAUGCGCUACAGUGUCCGGUUUUGGGAAACUUCUAGGAGGUUCCUGAGCGGUUUUGGGAACCUUCUAGAAGGUUCCUGAACCAGUUUUCCCUGGUUUAUUCUGUUUCUUUUUAUUUUUCUUUCAAUAUUGUUUAUUCUUUUUCAUUCUUUAUUUUUAUUUUUUCGUUUUGCCGUUUCUAUAUUCCAUUUUUUAUUUCUUUAAUUCCUUUUCCUUCUCUUUUUUCCUUCAGAAUUAAAAAAUAAUAAAAAUGUUCAGAAGUUAAGAAAAUUUUAUUGUUUAAAAAUUUUGUUCAUAAAUUGAAAAAUGUUCUUCUUUUCAAAAAACCUUCGCAUUUUUAAAAAAUGUUUGGCAUUUAAAAAAUGUUCCGCUUUCAAAAUAUUGUUCACAAAUUACAAAUAAUGUUCACUCUUUCCAAAUUUUGUUCAGAGUUUGGACAUGUUUGCAGACGUAAAAAUGUCCACCUUUUCCAGAAAUGUUCAUAUCUUUUUUUUCAAAAUUUGUUCACAAAUUCAAAAAUUCCUGUUUUUAUAAUUUGUUCACACAUCCAAAAAUUGUUCACACCUUUUAAAAAUUCUCAAAAUUUGUUCACAAAUUCAAAAAGCUUUCCAUUUUUAUAAUUGUUCACAGAUUAAAAAAUUGUUCAAAUCUUUAAAACUUGUUCGUGAUUCUAAAAAAAUGUUCAUAUCUUAAAAGAAAUCACAAAUUCGAACAAAUUCCUGUUCUCAAAAUUAGUUCACAAAUUAAAAAUGUUAUUUUUUGAAAAUUAUUCACAAAUUCAAAAAAAGUUCGCAUUUUGUCCAAACUUGUUCGUGAUUUGUCAAAAAAUGUUCGGAAUUUAAAAAAAUGUACCCGUUCUUUCAAGAUUUGUUCACAAAUUAAAAAAUUAUUUCCCUGUUUAAAUUUGGUUCACAAUUCAAAAAAUCAUGUUUUUUAAACUUCAAUUUUUUGCACGUGUCUAACAAAAUAGGUCAGAGUUUUGAAAAUUGUUCCUUUUUAAAAAAUUGUCCAGAACUGCAAAAUUGUUCCUGUUUUUAAAAUUCGAAUAAUUGCGACCAUUUGUUGAAACUCGUGUGCAUUUUUGCCAAAAACAUUUGGACUUUUAAAAAUAUAUUCAGAAUUAACAAGAAAAGAUUUAAAAAGGAAAAAUAAUGUGACCUGCCGUUGUGACCAGUACUAGUCGUGGUGGCUAGCUAGCUUCGUAUAAAAAAGCACGAUCGCGAGCUCGAGUCCUAGCUCUCGCUUCGAGUUUUUCGUUGCCUUUUUAACACUGCACGCUGCCUGCGUGGGCCGGCCCAGUCGGGCGCCUAACCUGUGCGAUCGCUCGACAUUCUGCCGCAGAAUGCGGCAGAUAGGAAGUCCCGGUCAUACCACACCACCCGUCAAUGUUGGGCGCCCCGUUAGUGCUGAAUUAAGGUAUUUCUAUCUGCUAGAGACGAAGUGGCCUUAUAUGGGCUUUCUCUUUUCUCCUAAACAAAACCAAGCCACCUCCCCCAAUCCAUUCCUCCCCAACGUCAUCACCACCCAAUGUUUUUGUCUCCUUACAUGUGUGCCCCCUCCUUCUUCCACAUUGAUCUGGUCCAACGCUACCGUCUCAUCCCCGCGAUCAUCGUCACUACUCUUCGAUUACUCGUGAUGGCGCGGGUUGUGGCUUCCCACUUGCUCUCUCGUAAGAGUGGUUGGGUAAACCCCAAGUGUAAGGAUGAAGUAACCUAGUAAUAAGCAUUUUCCCCGAUAGGUUUAUCAAACCAGUAGGAAUUUCUUCUACAACCCAAAUCCUCGGUACCUGCACACCAAACACAAAAUAAUCUUGCCCCAAACGUUUCAAGAAGGUUGUCAAGCUUCUUGUCCUGCUAGUUACAAGGAUUAGUUGUUAGUUGAAAGCAAAUAUCAGUUGCUAAGUAGCCUUAGUGUGGUUUGUACCUUCAGAUCUGCCAUGACACUGUCAACACUAUACUCGCCAUGCUUAGGGUUCAUCCUUUUUAUAUACACCAAGAUCAACCUAGGUGCUUCGCGUCGUACUAGCACUAAUCCAACCAUCAAUAUAAAUGAAAUGCCACCAUAAUUUCAAAGCUUAGUUGUUCAAAUACGAAUAUGAUGUGGUACUAAUAUUAGUUUAAAAUAGACACAUGUAGUUGGUCAGCCAAUGUUCCUUGUUGAGUUUCAAAAUACAUGUACACCACUUAUAGAGAGGCAUGAGUGAAUACUAUUUAUUUCUGCGAUCUCGUCCAUCAUGGAUGGGCAACGAACAUUGCAUUGUAUAGAAAGAAGGGUUAUAUAUAACCACCUUUUACAUAGAUGACGCUUUGCCUACGUGCUUUGUGUUGAAGUAGCAACACUCCACCUUUCAAGCUAAACAACAUGACACUCAUAAUUUCAAAGCUUAUUUUGUCAAAUACGAAUUUGAUAUGAUACUGAUAUUAGUUAAAAUGACACACAUUAAUUGUCAGCUAAUGUUCCUACUUCAGUUUUGAAAUGCAUAUCUGCCCCUUAUAGAGAGACAAGAGAGGUUUCUAUCUCUCUAUCCGCUCUUGUCAUCAUGGUUGGGGGGUGAACUUUGUAUAUCGUAUAGUUUGAAGCUGUCAUCUACCAACAAUCAUCACUUCUGGAGAUCUCAACUAGGAGCCUUUUUUGAGUAGUAGGGCCAUAUUAUAUUAAUACACACACCAAAUUACAACUCACAUAGCAUCUCUCGGCAGACUUCCAGAGAUAGUACGCAGGGGUUUAUAAGGAGUCACUAUUGGGGUAGAAUCGGCAAUGCAUUUGUUACACCCCGAUUCAGAGAACCGGAGGUCCCCGUGUUCCAGCCCAGAUAUCCAUUCGUCUGGAACACGACUAUAGCUUGGUACAGAUAGACCAAAAUAAAUAAGUACUUAUGUACAUUAAGGAGACAUGUCUAAGUGUGAGAAGCUCGAGGGCUUUAUUCUACGAGUGGCUUAAGGAAGUACUAAAGACGAAAAUAAUACUAAUGACACAACAGAAGACGGGGUACCAGUGGGGCUCCAAUCUAAAGAGACACUGCUGGUACACGAACUCUUAGGGGAACUCUUCUAUCGGCUCUCUAGUAUCUAGCAUGAUAAGUCAGGUGAGUACUUAAUUUGAAUGUACUCGCAAGCUCACAAACAAUCCAAAGCAAGCAAGAACGGAGCAAAUAAACAUAGCAACGAAGUAAGGACUAGUAAAGCUACUACUAUCAAGACUACUCCAUAGACUUCUUGUCUGCUCGUUUAACAUCUACUGGACUUCUUCUUGAAAUGAGUCCUGCUCAAACGACUCAACAAUAUAAGUUACCUGUUACCACAGUUACUAGAGUUGAAAGUAAAGGAAUAUGGGUACUUGGUCAAAUAGUGUGACCUAACACAAAUGGUGUCCCAUUGUCGGGGACUCGGCUAUUUGAAUAGUUUCAACACACACUCUGUAGAGGUCACACACUUUAAUUUACCCACACCAUAGAUUCUUUGUCUAAUGAAUCUCAUUCAUAGCAUGGCACUCUAACUAUUCCUCCGACCUCCCGCAGGCUAGCCCUGGGAGAGAGGAUCUGGGUCCUUGCCACUCUGUGUGGCACCACUUGUAUUCGCUUAGGAAUAUUUUCUAUUGAGCUCAUCCACAGACCCAGGCUCUCUUGACUGAAUGGCAACUUCCAAGCCAGAGGAAGUCUACACAUUCCAGCUUCCCUCUUCAGAGACACACAAAAGAUACAUACCUAGAAACGGAAUAAGGCCCUCCCAUUCGGCUAGAUGUGGCUAUACUGAGGUUGUUCCGCUUUGUGGCAUUUGGAUUGGCUAGCUAUUUAAAGUUGGGUUAAGAAGGAAAGUAAAACCGUAACUUUGUACUAGCUAUUCAAAUCCACAACUUGUUAUCCUACUAGGGUGAAGUAUUCACGAGGAUUCAUCAUCCUAAGUAGAGGCUUUCCCCGAGAUCCUUUGUGAACAUUGAUACCUAUUUUGCUUAUGAUUCAUGUUGGCAAAAUAAUUACCGGUUACGAGUCAUAGUUAAACUUCUAUUCCACUAGGACCAAAUAAAGGUAUCCUUGCUAGUGACUCACUAUGCUAUUUCAACCACAACAAACUUGACAUAAGCAAAGGGAAGCAAUAAAGAACACUGAAAGAAAAGUAAUGCGGGAAAAGAAAUGCAAGUUGAAUCCAUGGCCUUGCAAUGCAAGUUGAACCUAUAGUGUUAUAGCCAUGGCUCACGCUCAUGUAUUGCAUGGGGCUGAAAAUCUUGAAGCGCGUUAGAAGUGUUAAGCUUCAUGCACUAGCCAACGCAGCCAAAAGUCUGAACUGAUGGAAAGGGCUAGUACAAUCCACAUAUACUAUAACACCCUCUCUCACGUGGGACGGGGAAGACAAGUCAACACAUGCAACCGGAAGAGAGCGACGGCACGCGAAACUCAGGUAUGACUCAAGAGGCCUAUACGUGGACACAAAGGAGGGCUGUCAGCAAUUUUUAAAUAAGUUGCACAAACCAGGACUUGAACUCAAGACCUUAACUCCAAUACCAUGUUAAGCUUCAUUGACUCACUGAAAAACCAGCGGCAGUCACCACAGAGGCAAAACGCUCAAACAAGGCGCGGGGGGCUUGCUUAAGGCCAUAGAGAGAGCGACGAAGACGAGAUACCAUGCCAUCAGGAACAGAAUACCCAGGUGGUGGCUGCAUGUAUACCUCCAUUUGCCUGGUUUGACACCGGGGUGCUCAUGAUUUAUAUAUAUGCAAUGAAGGCGGAGUCAUGCCAUGCUAACAUGAUAAAAUGAGUGGGGAUAACAUUCGUUAAUGAUCGUAUAUUUUGAAAAAGUAAUGAUUAUGUUUCUUAUAUUCAUGGAAAUUAUUAUGUUGAUAUUGUUACUUCAUUGUUUCUCAAUAACUAUAUCAUAAAGAUAUUACAUGAUACAUAUGUUUGUUGGGGAACGUAGUAAUUUCAAAAAAAUUCCUACGCACACGCAAGAUCAUAGUGAUGCAUAGCAACAAAAGGGGAGAGUGUUGUCUAUGUACCCUCGUAGACCGAAAGCGGAAACGUUAGAACAACGCGGUUGAUGUAGUCGUACGUCUUCACGGCCCGACCAAUCAAGCACCGAAACUACGACACCUCCGAGUUCUAGCACACGUUCAGCUCGAUGACGUCCUUCGAACUCCGAUCCAGCCGAGUGUCGAGGGAGAGUUCCGUCAGCACUACGGCAUGGUGACGAUCUUGAUUUUCUACCGUUGCAAGGCUUCUCCUAAGCACCGCUACAAUAUUAUCAAGGAGGACUAUGGUGGAGGGGGGCACCGCACACGGCUAAGAGAUCAAGAGAUCAAUUGUUGUGUCUAGAGGUGCCCCCCUGCACCCGUAUAUAAAGGAUCAAGGGGAAGGGGGCGGCCGGCCAGGAGGAGGUGCGCCAAGGGGGGAGUCCUACUCCCACCGGGAGUAGGACUCCUCCUUCCCUUGUUGGAGUAGGAGAGAAGGAAAGAGGGGGAGAGGAGGAAGGAAAAGAGGGCUGCACCCCUUGUCCAAUUCGGACCAGAGUGGGGCUGUGCGCCUCCUUCCUUUCGGCCUCUCUCCUCUAUUCCCGUAUGGCCCAAUAAGGCCCAUAUACUCCCCGGCGAAUUCCCGUAACUCUCCGGUACUGUGAAAAAUACCCGAAUCACUCGGAACCUUUCCGAAGUCCGAAUAUGGUCGUACAAUAUAUCGAUCUUUACGUCUCAACCAUUUCGAGACUCCUCGUCAUGUCCCCGAUCUCAUCCGGGACUCCGAACUCCUUUGGUACAUCAAAACUCAUAAACUCAUUAUAUAACUGUCAUCGAAACUUUAAGCGUGCGGACCCUAUGGGUUCGAGAACUAUGUAGACAUGACCGAGACACGUUUCCGGUCAAUAAACAAUAGCGGAACCUAGAUGCUCAUAUUGGCUCCUACAUAUUCUACGAAGAUCUUUUAUUGGUCAAACCACAUAACAACAUACGUUGUUCCCUUUAUCAUCGGUAUGUUACUUUCCCGAGAUUUGAUCGUCGGUAUCCAAUACCUAGUUCAAUCUCGUUACCGGCAAGUCUCUUUACUCGUUCCGUAAUGCAUCAUUCCGUAACUAACUCAUUAGCUACAUUGCUUGCAAGGCUUAUAGUAAUGUGCAUUACUAAGAGGGCCCAGAGAUACCUCUUCGACAAUCGGAGUGACAAAACCUAAUCUCGAAAUACGCCAACUCAACAUGUACCUUUGGAGAUAGCUGUAGAGCUCCUUUAUAAUCACCCAGUUACGUUGUGACGUUUGGUAGCACACAAAGUGUUCCUCCGAUAAACGGGAGUUGCAUAAUCUCAUAGUUAUAGGAACAUGUAUAAGUCAUGAAGAAAGCAGUAGCAACAUACUAAAUGAUCAAGUGCUAAGCUAACGGAAUGGGUCAUGUUAAUCACAUCAUUAUCCUAAUUAUGUGAUCCCGUUAAUCAAAUGACAACUCAUGUCUAUGGUUAGGAAACAUAACCAUCUUUGAUUAAUGAGCUAGUCAAGUAGAGGCAUACUAGUGACAUUAAGUUUUGUCUAUGUACUCACACAUGUAUCAUGUUUCCGGCUAAUACAAUUCUAGCAUGAAUAAUAAAAAUUCAUCAUGAUAUAAGGAAAUAAAUAAUAACUUUAUUAUUGCCUCUAGGGCAUAUUUCCUUCAGUCUCCCACUUGCACUAGAAUCAAUAAUCUAGUUCACAUCGCCAUGUGAUUUAACACCAAUAUUCACAUCUGUAUGUGAUUAAUACCCAAUAGUUCACAUUGUCAUGUGAUCAACACCCAAAGGGUUUACUAGAGUCAAUAAUCUAGUUCACAAAUCUAUGUGAUUAACACCCAAAGAGUACUAAGGUAUGAUCAUGUUUUGCUUGUGAGAGAAGUUUAGUCAAUGGGUCUGUCACAUUCAGAGCCGUAUGCAUUUUGCAAAAAUUCUAUGUCUACAAUGCUCUGCACGGAGCUACUUUAGAUAAUUGCUCCCACUUUUAAUAUGUAUCCAGAUUAAGACUUAGAGUCAUCUGGAUCAAUGCCAAAACUUGUAUUGACGUAACCCUUUACGACGAACCUUUUUUCACCUCCACAAUCGAGAAACAUAUCCUUAUUCCACUAAGGAUAAAUUUGACCAAUGUCCAGUGAUCUACUCCUAGAUCACUAUUGUACUCCCUUGCCAAACCAGGACAGAGUAUACAAUAGGUCUGGUCCAUAGCAUGACAUACUUUUAUAGAACCUAUGACUGAUGCAUAGGGAAUGACUUUCAUUCACUUUCUAUUUUCUGCCGUGGUCCGGAUUUGAGUCUUACUCAAUUUCUUACCUUUGCAACAUAGGCUAGAACUCUUUCUUUGACUGUUCCACUUUGAACUAUUUCAAAAUCUUGUCAAGGUAUGUACUCAUUGAAAAUAUUAUCAAGCGUCUUGAUCUAUCUCAAUAGAUCUUGAUGCUCAAUAUGUAAGUAGCUUUACUGAGGUCUUUCUUUUAAAGAACUCCUUUCAAACACUUCUUUAUGCUUUCCAGAAUUUUUUUAUAUCAUUUCUGAUCAACAAUAUGUCACUCACAUAUACUUAUCAGAAAGGCUGUAGUGCUCCCACUCAUUUUAUUGUAAAUGCAUGCUUCACUGCAAGUCCAUAUAAAACUAUAUGCUUUGAUCAAAGCGUAUAUUCCAACUCCGAGAUGCUUGCACCAGUCCAUAGUUGGAUCGCUAGAGCUUGCACAAUUUGUUAGCACCUUUAGGAUUGACAAAACCUUCUGAUUGCAUCAUAUACAACUCUUCUUUAAUAAAUCCAUUAAAGAAUGCAGUUUUGACAUCCAUUUGCCAGAUUUCAUAAAAUGUGGCAAUUGCUAAUAUGAUUCGGACAGACUUAAGCAUCGAUACGAGUGAGAAAAUCUCAUCGUAUUCAACACCUUAAACUUGUCAAAAAACUUUUGCGACAAGUCGAGCUUUGUAGAUAGUAACACUACUAUCAGCGUCUGUCUUCCUCUUGAAGAUCCAUUUAUCUUCCAUGGCUUGCCGAUCAUCGGGCAAGUCCACCAAAGUCCACACUUUGUUCUCAUACAUGGAUCUCAUCUCAGAUUUUAUGGUCUCAACCCAUUUUGCGGAAUCUGGGAUCAUCAUCGCUUCCUCAUAGUUUGUAGGUUCAUCAUGGUAUAGUAACAUGACCUCCAUAAUAGGAUUACCGUACCACUCCGGUGCGGAUCUUACUCUGGAAGACCUACGAGGUUCUGUAGUAACUUAAUCUGAAGUUUCAUGAUCAUCAUCAUUAGCUUCCUCACUAACUGGUGUAGGAAUCACUGGAACUGAUUUCUGUGAUGAACUACUUUCCAAUUCGGGAGAAGGUACAAUUACCUUAUCAAGCUCUACUUUCCUCCCACUCACUUCUUUCGAGAGAAACCCCUUCUCUAGAAAGGAUCCAUCUUAGCAACGAAUAUUUUGCCUUCGGAUCUGUGAUAGAAGGUGUACCCAACAAUUUCCUUUGGGUAUUCUAUGAAGACGCACUUCUCUGAUUUGGGUUCGAGCUUAUCAGGUUGAAAUUUUUUCUCAUAAGCAUCGCAGCCCCAAACUUUAAGAAACGACAGCUUAGGUUUAUUGCUAAACCAUAGUUCAUACGGUGUCGUCUCAACGGAUUUAGAUGGUGCCCUAUUUUAACGUGAAUGCAGCUGUCUCUAAUGCAUAGCCCCAAAACAAUAUUGGUAAAUCGGUAAGAGACAUCAUAGAUCGCACCAUAUCCAAUAAAGUGCGGUUACGACGUUCGAACGCACCACUACGAUGUGGUGUUCCAGGUGGCAUGAAUUGUGAGACUAUUCCACAUUGUUUUUAUACGAAAGCCAAACUCGUAACUCAAAUAUUCUCCUCCACGAUCAGAUCGUAGAAACUUUAUUUUCUUGUUACGAUGAUUCUCCACAUCACUCUGAAAUUCUUUGAACUUUUCAAAUGUUUCAGACUUGUGUUUUAUUAAGUAGAUAUACUCAUAUCUUGCUCAAAUCAUCUUGUGAAGGUCUGAAAAUAACGAUACCCGCCACGAGCAUCAAUACUCAUUGGACCGCAUACAUCAGCAUGUAUUAUUUCCAAUAAGUCACUAGCUCGUUCCAUUGUUCCGGAGAACGGAGUUUUAGUCAUCUUGCCCAAAAGGCACGGUUCGCAAGCAUCAAAUGAUUCAUAACCAAGUGAUUCCAAAAAUCCAUCUUUAUGGAGUUUCUUCAUGCGCUUUACACCGAUAUGACCCAAACGGUAGUGCCACCAAUAAGUUGCACUAUCACUAUAAACUUUGCAUCUUUUUGGCAUCAAUAUUAUGAAUAUGUGUAUCACUACGAUCGAGAUCCAAUAAACUAUUUUCAUUGGGUGUAUGACCAUCGAAGGUUUUAUUCAUGUAAAUAGAACAACAAUUAUUCUCUGACUUUAAAUGAAUAACCAUAUUGCAAUAAACAUGAUCAAAUCAUAUUUAUGCUCAACGCAAAAGCCAAAUAACAUUUAUUUAGGUUUAACACUAAUCCCAAAAGUAUAGGGAGUGUGCGAUGAUGAUCAUAUCAAUCUUGGAACUACUUCCAACACUGAUCGUCACUUCACCCUCAACUAGUCUCUGUUUAUUCUGUAACUCUUGUUUCGAGUUACUAAUUUUUUAGCAACCGAACAAGUAUCAAAUACUCAGGGGCUACUAUAAACACUAGUAAGGUACACAUCAAUAACCCGUAUAUCAAAUAUACCCUUGUUCACUUUGCCAUCCUUCUUAUCCACCAAAUAUUCAGGGCAUUUGCGAUUCCAGUGACCAUUUCCUUUGCAGUGUAAGAACUCAGUUUCAGGCUUUGGUCCAGCCUUGGGCUUCUUCACGGGAGUGACAACUUGCUUGUCAUUCUACUUGAAGUUCCCUUUCUUUCCCUUUGCCCUUUCUUUGAAACUAGUGGUCUUGUUAAUCAUCAACACUUGAUGCUCUUUCUUGAUUUCUACCUUCGUCGAUUUCAGCAUCACGAAGAACUCGGGAAUCGUUUUCAUCAUCCCUUGCAUUAUAGUUCAUCACGAAGUUCCAGUAACUUGGUGAUGGUGACUAGAGAACUCUGCCAAUCACUAUCUUAUCUGGAAGAUUAACUCCCACUUGAUUCAAGCGAUUGUAGUACUCAGACAAUCUCAGUACUUGCUCACUAUUUGAGUAAUUCUCCUCCAUCUUUUAGGCGAAGUAUUUGUCAAAGGUCUCAUACCUCUUGACACGGGCAUGAGUCUGAAAUACCAAUUUCAUCUCUUGAAACAUAUUAUAUGUUCCAUGAUGUUUCAAAAACGUUUUUGUAGUCCCGGUUCUAAGACAUAAAGCAUGGUGCACAAAACUAUCAAGUAGUCAUCAUAUUGAGCUAGGCAAACGUUCAUAACGUCUGAAUCUGCUCCUGCAAUAGGUCUGUCACCUAGCGGUGCAUAAAGGACAUAAUUCUUCUGUGCAGCAAUGAGGAUAAACCUCAGAUCACGGACCAAGUCCGCAUCAUUGCUACUAACAUCUUUCAACUUAGUUUUCUCCAGGAACACAUAUAAAACAUAGGGAAGCAACAACGCGAGCUAUUGAUCUACAACAUAAUUUGCAAAAUACUACCAGGACUAAGUUCAUGAUAAAUUAAAGUUCAAUUAAUCAUAUUACUUAAGAACUCCCACUUAGACAGACAUCUCUCUAGUCAUCUACGUGAUCACGUAAUCCAAAUCAACUAAACCAUGUCCGAUCAUCACGUGAGAUGGAGUAGUUUUCAAUGGUGAACAUCACUAUGUUGAUCAUAUCUACUAUAUGAUUCACGUUCGACCUUUCGGUCUCCAUGUUCCGAGGCCAUAUCUGUAUAUGCUAGGCUCGUCAAGUUUAACCUGAGUAUUCCACAUGUGCAACUGUUUUGCACCCGUUGUAUUUGAACGUAGAGCCUAUCACACCCGAUCAUCACGUGGUGUCUCAGCACGAAGAACUUUCACAAUGGUGCAUACUCAGGGAGAACACUUCUUGAUAAUUAGUGAGAGAUCAUCUUAAAAUGCUACCGUCAAUCAAAGCAAGAUAAGAUGCAUAAAGGAUACACAUCACAUGAAUCAACAUAAGUGAUAUGAUAUGGCCAUCAUCAUCUUGUGUUUGUGGUCUCCAUCUCCGAAGCACCGUCGUGGUCACCAUUGUCACCGGAGCGACACCUUGAUCUCCAUCGUAGCAUCGUUGUUGUUUCGCCAUCUAUUGCUUCUACGACUAUCGCUACCGCUUAGUGAUAAAGUAAAGCAAUUACAGGGUGCUUGCAUUUCAUACAAUAAAGCGACAACCAUAUGGCUCCUGCCAGUUGCCGAUAACUCAGUUACAAAACAUGAUCAUUUCAUACAAUAAAAUAUAACAUCACGUCUUGACCAUAUCACAUCACAACAUGCCCUGCAAAAACAAGUUAGACGUCCUCUACUUUGUAGUUGCAAAUUUUACGUGGCUGCUACAGGCUAAGCAAGAACCGUUCUUACCUACGCAUAAAAACCACAACGAUAGUUCGUCAAGUUAGUGCUGUUUUAACCUUCACAAGGACCGGGCGUAGCCACACUCGGUUCAACUAAAGUUGGAGAAACUGACACCCGCCAGCCACCUGUAUGCAAAGCACGUCGGUAAAACCAGUCUCGCGUAAGUGUACGUGUAAUUUCGGUCCAGGCCGCUUCAUCCAACAAUAUCGCCGAACCAAAGUAUGACUUGCUGGUAAGCAGUAUGACUUGUAUCGCCCACAACUCACUUGUGUUCUACUCGCGCAUAUAACAUUUACGCAUAAAACCUGGCUCGGAUGCCACUAUUGGGGAACGUAGUAAUUUCAAAAAAUUUCCUACGCAUACGCAAGAUCAUGGUGAUGCGUAUCAACAAGAGGGGAGAGUGUUGUCUACGUACCCUCAUAGACCGAAAGCGGAAGCGUUAGAACAAUUUGGUUGAUGUAGUCGUACGUCUUCACGGCCCGAUCAAUCAAGCACCAAAACUACGGCACCUCCGAGUUCUAGCAUACGUUCAGCUCGAUGACAUCCUUCAAACUUCGAUCCAGCCAAGUGUCGAGGGAGAAUUCCGUUAGCACGACGGCGUGGUGACGAUCUUGAUGUUCUACCGUCGCAGGGCUUCUCCUAAGCACCGCUACAAUAUUAUCGAGGAGGACUAUGAUGGAGGGGGGGGGCACCGCACACGACUAAGAGAUCAAGAGAUCAAUUGUUGUGUCUAGAGGUGCCCCCUGCCCCCGUAUAUAAAGGAUCAAGGGGGAGGAGGCGGCCGGCCAGGAGGAGGCGCGCCAAGGGGGGAGUCCUACUCCCACCGGGAGUAGGACUCCUCCUUCCCUUGUUGGCGUAGGAGAGAAGGGAAGAGGGGGAGAGGAGGAAGGAAAAGGGGGCUGCACCCCUUGUCCAAUUCGGACCAGAGGGGGGCUGCGCGCCUCCUUCCUUUCGGCCUCUCUCCUCUAUUCCCGUAUGGCCCAGUAAGGCCCAUAUACUCCCACACGAAUUCACGUAACUCUCCGGUACUCCGAAAAAUACCCGAAUCACUCGGAACCUUUCUGAAGUCCGAAUAUAGUCAUCCAAUAUAUCGAUCUUUACGUGUCGACCAUUUCGAGACUCCUCGUCAUGUCCCCGAUCUCAUCUGGGACUCCGAACUCCUUCGGUACAUCAAAACUCAUAAACUCAUAAUAUAACUGUCAUUGAAACCUUAAGCGUGUGGACCCUACGGGUUCGAGAACUAUGUAGACAUGACCGAGACACGUUUCCGGUCAAUAACCAAUAGCGAAACCUGGAUGCUCAUAUUGGCUCCUACAUAUUCUACGAAGAUCUUUUAUCGGUCAAACCGCAUAACAAUAUACGUUGUUCCCUUUGUCAUCGGUAUGUUACUUGCCCGAGAUUUGAUCGUCGGUAUCCAAUACCUAUUUCAAUCUCGUUACUGGCAAGUCUCUUUACUCGUUCCGUAAUGCAUCAUUUCGUAACUAACUCAUUAGUUACAUUGCUUGCAAGGCUUAUAGUGAUGUGCAUUACCGAGAUGGCCCAGAGAUACCACUCCGACAAUCGAAGUGACAAAACCUAAUCUCGAAAUAUGCCAACUCAACAUGUAUCUUUGGAGACACCUGUAGAUCUCCUUUAUAAUCACCCAGUUAUGUUGUGAUGUUUGGUAGCACACAAAGUGUUCCUCUGGUAAACGGGAGUUGCAUAAUCUCAUAGUUGUAGGCACAUGUAUAAGUCAUGAAGAAAGUAUACGCCAACUCAACAUGUACCUUUGGAGACACCUGUAGAGCUCCUUUAUAAUCACCCAGUUACGUUGUGACGUUUGGUAGCACACAAAGUGUUCCUCCGGUAAACGGGAGUUGCAUAAUCUCAUAGUUGUAGGAACAUGUAUAAGUCAUGAAGAAAGCAGUAGCAACAUACUAAACGAUCAAGUGCUAAGCUAACGGAAUGGGUCAUGUCAAUCACAUCAUUCUCCUAAUGAUGUGAUCCCGUUAAUCAAAUGACAACUCAUGUCUAUCGUUAGGAAACAUAACCAUCUUUGAUUAAUGAGCUAGUCAAGUAGAGGCAUACUAGUGACAUUAAAUUUUGUCUAUGUAUUCACACAUGUAUCAUGUUUCCGGCUAAUACAAUUCUAGCAUGAAUAAUAAACAUUCAUCAUGAUAUAAGGAAAUAAAUAAUACCUUUAUUAUUGCCUCUAGGGCAUAUUUCCUUCAAUGUUAGCUAGCAUUACACAUCAAAAUUUUUGUUUUUAUCAUUUACCUAUUCGAGGAUGAGCAGGAAUUAAGCUUGAGGAUGUUGACAUGUCCAACAUAUCUAUAAUUUUUUAUUGUUUCAUGCUAUCAUAUGAUCAAUCUUGGAUGCUUUAUAUGUAUUUUAUACUAUUUUAUAUCUUUUUGGACUAACCUAUUAUUUUGAAAAAAAAUUGAAUUGUUUGGAUUGCUUACCACAUGUGUCACGUGGUUUGGGACUAACUUUUUAACCCAAUGCCUAGUGCUAGUUAAUGUUUUUUUUGCUUGUUUUUGGCUCUUCAGAAAAACAAUACCAAAUGAACUUCAAACAUGAUGAAACUUUACGGUAAUUUUUUCUGGACUAGAAGAGGCCCUAGAAGGUUCGGGAGGAGGCUAGAAGAUCUACGGAAGAGCCACGAGCUCACAGGGCACGCCCCCGAGCUCAUGGGCCCCACGCAGCUCCGUUUGACCUAAUUUCAACUCCAUAACUUCACAUAUAUUUCCAAACCAAUAGAGAGCCACCCGAAACACUUUUUUUCCACCGCAAGCUUCUGUUCUUCCGUGAUCCCAUCUGGAGGCCUUUUCCGGUACUCUGCCGGAGGAGGAAUCGAUCAUGGAGGGCUUCUAUAUCAUCCUUGCUGCCUUUCGAUGAUGCAUGCAUAGUUCAUGACAGACCUACGGGUCCAUAUCUAGUAGGUAGAUGGCUUCAUCUCUCUCUUUGAUCUUCAAUACAAUGUUCUCCUCGAUUUUCUUAGAGCUUUUUUAUCCUAUGUAAUCUUUUUUUGCGGUGCGUUUAUUGGGAUGCAGUGAAUUAUGGGUUUAUGAUCAAAUUAUUAACUGAAAGUAAUUGUGUCUUUUCUGAGCUUUAUUAUGCAUGAUUGUUAUAGCUUCGUAUUAUCCUCCGAUCAAUUCGUUUGGUUUCGCCAACUAGAUUGAUUUAUCUUCAGUGGGAGAGGUGCUUUGUAAUGGGUUCAAUCUUGCGGUGUCCUCAUAUAGUGACAGAAGGGGAAGCAAGGCACAUAUAGUAUCGUUGCCAUUAAGGAUAAAACGACGUGGUUUAAUCAUAUUUCUUGAGUUUACUUUGUCUAGAUCAUGUCAUCUUGCUUAAGGUGUUACUCUGUUUGCCAUGAACUUAAUACGAUAGAUGCAUGCUAAAUAGCGGUCGAUUGGUGGAGUAAUACUAGUAGAUGUAGGCAGGAGUCGAUCUACUUGUCACAGACAUGACUAUAUACAUGAUCAUUGCCAUGAAUAUGUCAUAACUAUGUGUUUUUCUAUCGGUUGUCUAACAGUAAUUUGUUUACCCACAAUAUGCUACGUGUUCGAGAGAGAAGCCUCUAAUGAAAACUAUGGCGCUAGGUCUACUUUUAUCAUAUUAUUAAAACUAAAAAUACCUUCAUGCAAUUUUAUACUUUUUUUACUUUUCUUUUUAUCUAUCUAUCACUAUCAGAAUUAAUCCUUGCAAAUAAUGAGUUCAAGGGGAAUGACAAGACUCUUGCCGCGUUGGGUGCAAGUAUUUGCUUUUGUGUGUGUAGGUGCUGAAAAAGGGAAUUUGCGUGGUUCUCCUAUUGGUUUGAUAACCUUGGUUCUCACUGACGGGAAUACUUAUCUCUAUUGUAUUGCUCCACCCAUCCUCUUGGGGGAAAUCCCAACGCAGUUUAGAAGUAGCACUACUCCUCCUUCCUCCUCCAUAGACGCUUGGCGAAGCCCUGCCACAGCUCCACCAUAAAAUCCACCACCACGCCAUCGUGUUGGCCUAGAUCUCAUCUACCUAUCCCUGUCGCUUGCUGGAUGAAGGAGACAUCACCGAGCCAUACGUGUGCAUAUCCCUGAGGUGUCAUUCGUGCGGUGCUGGAUCGGAUUGGAUCACGAAGAGUGUACGACUACGCCAAGCACAUUCAUUAGAACGUUUCUGUUUUAGGUCUAGAAGGGUUUGUAGACUUUUCCCCCUCGUUGCUAGCAUCUAGUUGAUUAGAUCUCGGAUGUUUUCAUUGUCUCGUAGGAAAAAAAUUGUUUUUCAUGCAUUGAUUCUCAUCACCGACCUGCUUCAAAAGAAGCAGGUAGGAGCCCAGGCGGCCCGAGCUCAGCAGGUUGCCGGGUGGGAGGUCCCUAACAGGUGCAUCCAAGAAUGCAACAACCUCCAAGUAGAGAAGGCGUCCCUAACCGAGAGGACGAGACAACAAGAGCUGGAGCUGGAAGAAGUUAAGUCUCGCCUGGUCGAUGCCGGGAGCGUCGCGGCGGGCCCUUGAGAUCAUAGCCAGUGAGUCUGUCCAUGCUUCAACUCAUAAACUAGGUGGAAAUUUUAUUUGCCGAUCUGACAUACAAAUUCAUUAUUUCCAGCAUCUUUUCCCGACCUGCCAGCCAAUGCUGUUGGAGCGUCCCUUAGGGAGAAACUGCAGCAGUUUGGAGAGUUAAACAAGAUUGCGAGGCCGGUAAUGGAGGGUAUUUUCUUGGCCCUAUGGCCUGGAAGAAAGGUUGUCGGAAAACCAGUUUGACCUCUGCCGCCGCCUCCAGGAGGGGCAUGCUCGGAUUGCCCUGUGAAAGGCGUUAGUGGCCUGAGAAGAUGCUCGUCAAGCGUGGGCCAUGCUCCAGACCCACUAUCCGGGCUUGAACAUCUGCCCUAUUGCCGUAGUUGGUCCAAAAGGACCUGACGGUAAGGAGAUUAUGCCCUAUGCUAGGAUGUCCGAGCAGGAUUGUCGUUUGAAAAGAUUAUUGAAUAGGCUAGGAGUGUUACCCUGGAUUGUCAAGGACGAAACGUUGAAUAAAAACUUCUCGAAUUUCGCUACCACCAUGUUUAUUUUUUUCUAUACCAACAACAUGAUAGGUUUGCUCCGACCUGUUAGCAUACGCUUGCAUUAACCGGCCUUUGGCUUCAACCUCAACAACCAAAUGUGGAGGCCUUAUAAUUGAUGUUAACGCAAUGAGUAGGGAUCACCAUGCAACUAGGAUGCAAACAUAUCUAUGAAUAUAUGAAAUAUCUCGCAAGGAUUAAGUGGGGGUGUGUCCAACUUGUUUGCUCAUGAAGACCUCAAGCAUUUGAUAAAGCUCAUCAUCGGGAUAUACAAGGAAAAUUAUACAAUAUAAAUUCCCCAAGCUAGUAUAAAACAUGAAGCUCAUGAAACUUUAAUUAGAUGUAAAUUGUCCAGACCAACAAAAGUUCUUUAGUAAGGGUCUCUGACGAGAAUUUAUUUCAUCGAAAGUGUCCUACUCAGCUUGAGCUCAUAUGAAUUUUUUUAUUGCCGUGAAAAAGAUGAAUGCCAUUCUAUGAUGAAACCUUGCAAGGAUUUAUAACAUUUGUCAAAUUAAGCCACACACAAAAAAUCAGAAAUUUUUGAAUUCUCUCUAAAUAUUUUCAGAUUUUAUUGCUCACCCGAGCUCAUAUGAGCUCGAGCUCAGUUAAUCCGUGUCCAUGUUUCAUCCUACUCUACUAGCAAAAACCAAUGGAGCAGACGGUAGUGACGUGGAAAAGAAACCAUAACAAAUUUUUAGUGAUAUAUAAUUAAAGAAACAGAAAUUUACAAUUGCAAAUUAGGGAAUCUUAAUGUCAAAUACUGAAUUCUUCCACCCACUAGCUGUGAGACAUAUCCAUUGCAGUGCCAAAUAAAGAAGCUUUUCCAUGAAUUAAUAACAACAAGACAAUGGUCCGCGUGUUGUAUAUAAUAAAUAGAGUCCUGCUUCGGUACAACCCCCCUCGCAAUAUGUAUAAAGGGUAAUAUGGACUUUUCACAAUCUGUAUCUACUUCUGUACGUAACAUAUACGCCAGGCAGCUUACUUGGGCCGGCCCAUUUGCGGUGGCAUGCGAUGAAAAAUAGCGAAAAAGGAUCACACAAACUGGGAAUCGAAACCGACGACCACUUCAAAAUUUAACUGCGUCCACAACCACUGCGAUAGCAUGCCUUUGUUGAAUGAUCUAAAGUUGGAAACAAUAAAUAAUUGACAGGCUGGGAAUUUUAAAAAGAUUUCAGUAACACUUUCUGAACUGGCGUUUUUUCCAUAAUUUCUUUCUAUUUAUUUUCCUUUUCCUGCUAUUCUUCUUUCUUUUUCAAAAAUGUUCGCGCUUUCAAAAUGUUGUUCCAAAUUUCAAACGGUUCAUUAUUUCCAAGUUUUGUUCAUAAACUAAAAAUAUUUGCAUUUUUGAAAAUUGUAUUGUAAUUUGAAAAAAUGUUUGUGACUUUGAAAAAAUGUUCAGAAUGUAAAAUGUGAAUAAUGUUUUGAAAACCACAAAUAAAAUUGUGAAAAUGAACAUUUUCUGAGAGCACGGACAAAAAAUUAAAUUCCAAAGCAUUUUUCAGAAAUGAGACUAAAUAAAUGAUCUCAUAAAAUUAUUCUAAAUUUACACGAUUAUUUUUUAAAAUUUGUCAGAAUAUUUUUGAAAAUGAGAACAUUUUCUAAAUUCCGAACAAAUUCCAGUAGUCGCCCGACAAGAGCGAUGCCGUUGCUUAGUUGGGCAAGGCCUAAAGUUUUUUCUUUUCUAUUUUUUCGUUUUAUUCUCUUUUUUGUUAAUUUAUCUUUUCACCUUUUUGAACUUUAUGGUUCUUUUUUUUAACCUGCUCAAAAAAUUGAAAUACCAAAAUAAUAGUUUUAAGGAACUAUUUUAAAUUAUGAUUUUAAUUCUUUUUUUGUUUCAAUAUUUCUUAAAUGCUUUUUAAAAAGCAUCUGUUGUUUUCAAUUCUAUUAUUUAGUAUUUAUUGAUUAUUUUAGAAAUUUAAAAUGACAGUUUGAAGUAUCUAUAUAAAUUAUGAUUUUAAAUGACCCCAACAUUUGCCAGCUGGUGGCAUGGCCAUGGUAGGCAUCCAUGCCCCAAUAUUCUUUCAUGGCCUCGUAUGACCAAUUCAAUGCACCAUGACAAGUUGUUUUGGUUUUCGACAAAUUUUGUAUUUUUCUAGAGUUUUCUCGAUAAGAAAAUGCAAAAAAAGGCCGGACGUGUUGCAACUUUCAUACUGUGUCAGAAAUUGUUCAAACCUGGCAUGGAUGCCUAUGAGGGGCAUGCCCAUCUGGUGGCAAAAGUUGGGGCCAUUUUAAGGAUGUACUCCCUCCGUCCGAAAAUACUUGUCAUCAAAAUGGAUAAUAAGGGAUGUACGUAGAACUAAAAUACAUGUAGAUACAUCUCCUUUUAUCCAUUUUGAUGACAAGUAUUUUCGGACGGAGGAAGUAUAAAUAGACCAUGUUGAACAAACUGUGUUCUCGGGCAGAAGGAUUCGUCUGAGAGCAUGUUAGUUCUCGACAUCCUUGAAAUUAAUCCAAUUUUUUUCAAGGGCCUCGUAUGACCAAUUCAAGGCAUCAUGGAAAGUUGUUUGGGUUUUCAACAAGUUUUGCAUUUCCUGGAGUUUCUUGGUGAAAAAGUAACAAUUAAUGAUAGAACAUGUCGCAACGUGCAUACGGUGUCGGAAGUCAUUCAGACCAAGUAUGGAUGCCUAACAUGGGCAUGCCCACUUGCUUGCAAAAGUUGGGGGUAGUCCUGAUAUUUCCAAAGAAAUACCAUGUUGGAUGGAGAGUGUUCGAAUAGGCUAGAAGGAUCUGUUUGCGAGCUCCAUUUCUCAUGGCCUUGUAUAACCAAUUCAAGGCACCACACCAAAUUGUUUUGGUUUUGUCCAAUUUUGCGUUUUCUGAAGUUUUUGUGGUUAAGAAGGCCGAUAAAUGACCGGAUGUGUCAACACUUGAAUAUGGUGUAGAAAAACGUCCAAACUAGGCAUGUGCCUACCAUGGGCAUGCCUACCUUCUUGCAAAAGUGGGGUUCAUUUUAAAGAUGUUCAAAAAUAGACUAUGUUCAACGGAGAGUGUUCGAAUAGUGCAGAAGGGUCCGUUUGAAAGCUCGUUGUUUACUGACAUCUGUCAAAUAACCCCAAAUAUUUUUCAUGAGCUUCUAUGACCAAUUCAAGGCACAAUGCCAAUUUGUUUAGAUUUUUGAAAAGUUUUGUAUUUUCUAGAGUUUUCUCAUUGAAAGUAGGCCGAUAAAUGGUCGGACGUGUCACAACAUGUAAAGGGUGUCGGAAGUCAUUCAAACCUGGCGUGGAUGCCUCAUAUGUCCAAGCCAGGCUCUUGCAAGAAGGUGGGAUCAUUUAUCAAUAGCCUAAAAUAUACCAGUUAGAUGAGUUUAUUUCUAAUUCCCUUCAUUAUCACUCAACAUAAACAUUUUAUUUUUUCCUAACAAUUUCUUGAAAUUUCUCAACAAUUUUGGAACUUCAAAGUGUGUAUGAAAAAUUUACUAACUUGAACACUUUUUUCCAAAAUUGUUAACAAAUUACGAAAGAAUGAUGAAAAUUUCGAACAAAAAAGCAAACCGCGUACUUCUUAAAAAAAUUGUCAACUUUUUUGAAACACAUACAUUUCUUAAAUUUGUGAACAACAAAAUUCGAAAACUAGAACAUUUUAUGAAAUUCCAGAAUAUUUUUUAUAAUUUAAACAAUAUUUGAAAACAAAAUCAUUUUAUGUUAUGCCAAACAUUUUUUCCAAAAUUUGAACAAGUUUCACAAAGAUUAAUAAAGUUCAAAAGUAGAAAAAUGAAUUAACAAAAAGAGAAAAAAAAAGAAACUAACUGCAAUGAAAAAAAUGCUUAGGCCCUAGAAAAUAAGAAUGUUUCCGGAAAAUUUAAGUAUAUUUGGAAAAAUAUUCGUAAAUUUUAAAAAUUGUUUGUGUUUUUGAAUAAUGCUCGCCAAUUUGAAAAAGUUUUGCAUUUUAAAAAAAUGUUCAGAUAUUUCAAAAUUGUUUAUGUUUUCAAGAAAAUGGUCACAAAUGUGAUAAAUUAUUCAUCUUUUCAAAAAAAUCUGCAGUUUCAGAUAUAUGUUUACAAUACUGAAAAACUGUUCUUAAACUUUCAAAAAUAUUCACAAAAUCAAAGUAUUUUUCAUAAAAAAGGGUUCGGGAAUUUGAAAAAAAUGCGUUUCCAAAAGAAGUCCAAAUUUUGAAAAAUGUUUCGUAUUUUUAAAAAUAUUCCAAUAGAUGAAAAAACACAUUAGGUUUUUUAGCUAUAAAAAAUGCUUUAGCUAGAAUGUCCUGCCCAGUUGUGUUUUCCAAAAGAAGUCCGUGCACCAAUUUUGAUCUGCUAGAGUAUUUCUAGUAAAAAAAAAGCUCCUACAGUACGUCUGUUCUAGGUAAUAAACAACUACACUUCAAAAAUAUCAGCAAAUCCAGAUGGUUCUGGUGGCUAUUAGCAGUUUCCCAACCGCUGGAGGUCCUGUGUUCGAUGCCCAAUAGGCACACUAUGUUUUGGAUUUUUGAUCGGUGCUACCGCACAUACUCUCUCUAAUGGGCCGGCCCAAAAUAGACUCAGAACAUGACAGAUCUUCGCGACGUAUUUUCUUGAAAGACCAUCCUACUCUUUAUUAUGAAAAGGUAUAGACAGAUCUCGUCCAUUGAUGUAUUCGGGGGUUGUGCCGAAGAAGAAGAUAUAGACCUAUGAGGAAUUACGUAUGCAUGCUCAAGAACCUAUGUUCGUACAUACAUACACAAAAUCAUAUAGAACAAAAGGUAUGCUCCGGUCAGAAAGCAGAGUCGUACAGCAGAGUUUUGGACAAAAGUGAAGUUCACAAAAGACCUUCAUACGAGAUAGGCCAUUGUUUCAACUCGUAGUUUAGGCCUUGCCGGACUCCUCGCAACCCGGUGGCCUAAAGGCGAUGAAGCUGACGCACUGCACCUGGCGCAGGUUGUCGAAGCCGAUGACACGGACAUAGGCGUCAGGGUACUCCUUCUUGACCUCCUCCACCUCGUUCAGCACCUGUGUGGCGUCAGUGCACCCGAACAUAGGCAGCUUCCACAUUGUCCAGUAUCGGCCGUCGUAGUACCCGGGGGAGCUGUUGUGCUCACGGAAGACGAAGCCAACCUUGCUGAACUCGAGGCAGGGCACCCACUUUGAGCGGAUCAGGUAGUCGACCUGUUUCAGGAGGGCCUCCGUGGAUAGGGGUGGCAGGUAAGACAGGGUCUCGAACUUCUUGAUGCCCUCAAUUGGCCACACCUAAAUGAAUAGAAUGCGCACAGAUGCUCAAUACUUGGUGAUAAGUCAAUUAAUUGUACUAAACUACGCUAGAAAAAAUCAGUCGACAAGCCAAAAAUUGCUCCUUAUGGGCAGCUCUCAUAUGCAUUGCUGGGUUGUUCACAAUCAAUAAAGCUUUGGUUGUACUUAGUGCUAGUAUAUGGGUCCUAUUUCGAGGAUGGGUUUGGUUAUAUACAUUGGGGAUGUUCUGCAAGUGAAUUACUUGCACUGACAAAGAAACUCAUAUCUGUUUAAUUAGUGCCCGACAUACCUGCAUGCACCUGAUCCUUCCGCCAUUGCUGACGCUGCUGAGGCUGCCGCUGGAGCGGCGGCCGACGGGGAGACCGGCUGUGGACUUGAGCCCCUGGAAGGGUGCGACGGUGGUAGCCGAGGAAGCCAUCACGGCGGGGGCCAUGGUAAUGUAUUAUCUGGAGGAGAGGAGGAUGCCGGCUACACUUGAGACCCCAUUGCCUGGUCACCACGCUAUAUAUAGCAGCGUUUCUUUCGUACAGAUGUGGUAGGGGUGGCUCACGUUCGCUGGUUGCCUCGUUUCCUUAUCUUCUCCGGAUCAGUGGAAGAAGCAUAUCCGUCGGAUGCAUUGUGUGUGCUGGAAAUUGUGUGAGGAUGGGACUUGAGUGGUUCGGCCAAAAUAUUUUUCAUUUUAUUAUAAGAUCUGCUGGCUCACUCUCUCGAAAGUGCUCAUAGGCGAAGAAUAUGCGUGUGUGCAUUCAUAAGAGAUGAUGUACAUGUGCCUAUGUGAACAUCCACGUUUGUACAAUGUUUCUCAAAAUAAAAUAUAUGUUUUCUUGGUACAAUUAACUGAACAAGCAUAGUAACCGUCCACAGGUAGAACAAGUUCUUUCCCUCUCGCAUGGCGAUUAGGGAAAGCUUUCCUCCCCUCGAUAUCCGCCGGCGAGCCUGUGGAUUUGCCUCCCCUCUGCGGGAAGGGGAUUCCUAGUGUCUCGUCUCCGGCUAGUAGAUGGGUAGGGUUUUUGUCCUCAGAGGGGUGACACUUGGACGGAUAGCGGCGCUUUUUCUUCAAGUUAGUCUUUCAGGAUCCGAUCCUAUUGAAGUUCCUCUAUUUGGGGAGCUCCGACGUAGAUUUGGCGAGCUCCUCGGGUGGCAAGGUUAGAAUUUCUCGUUAUGUGUGCGAACAAUGAAAUUUUGUGUCAGGGUCUUCAGAUCGAUUCAGGGAUUCAACGGCGACGACUGCCGCAAGAGCACUGAUCCUUAGAGGCAUGUGCAUGAAGACUCACUGGCUAUCAUCGACAAGGUCAUGCUAGCUCCAGUGUGGGAGCAAGAACAAUGGUGUGUUAGCGGCUCGUCUUCGCAGAGGCAAUGGCCAUUCGAUGGUCCAUGGACCUAGAUAAAUUUUUUAAUGUUUGAGGUGAUUUCUGCUUCCGGUGAAUCUUUAUAAUAGAUCUUGUCCUUUAGGCCAAAAAAAAAGAAACUAAACUAGGGUAGUGGCGCUUUCAUCCUAAUAUUACAUUCUUUAACAAAAAUAUUUUAAUAUAUACUAGCAAAAUGGCCCGUGUGUUGGAAUGGGAGAAAAGAAUACCACACGCUUUUAAUUUAUAAAAAAUGGUCUAGAUAAUCUGAAUAUUGGUAGCUACGGCCCAAACAAAGAUGGUCUUUGCCUACAAAAACGCAAGUUCAAGAUUCCACAUGCAUGUCUUCUAUUUAAACACGACUUGCAUGUAGAUUUAAUACAUACAAAGAAAUGGGCAAGUGAUCUUCAAUUUCGUUUCCAAUCCUGAUUUUGCUGAGAUGUGCAUCCACAAUCCGGAUCAGUACUGAUAUGAAAGAAAGAUGGAUAAUGCAUUAUAUUAACAGAUAAAAUAACAUCAUGUUCAGAUUUUAUAUUUUUUCUAAUCAAAUUCCAUAUAUAACAUGUUAAAUUUGAAGUUACGGUAUAGAAGAUAUGAGUAUUUUAAAAAACAUUUAAUAUGUAUUGUGGGUUUAAUGUCAGAAACAUUAGGGGGUUUUCUAUAAAAUAGCAUGACAGACUAAGAAUACCUAUUUCUUUUAUUAGUAGGUAUAGAUAGCAUGUUAUAUAUAGUCAAGGUUUCAAGGGUAUAAAAGUUCUCGCCUAUAAUAUAACAUGAUCCAACGGAGUGAUUUAAAAAAUAUAACUGUAUGUGUCCUGAAAAAAAAACAAUGUUCAGUAUAUAUUUAUGUAACAAUGAGCUAAGAUUUUUAUUUUGCUGAGGGAACAUAAAUGCAUAUAUAGUAUCCCUUCAAAUUUUCUCCCCUAACUUCUUUCUCCACAAUGCACCAACAGGAUAACAAUCCCUCUAGCGGGAUAUACAAGUCAUACUUAAUUAGAUAGACAAAUUCAAUCUUUGGCCAAUAACUAAUCCUUUUUUUAUUGUCAAAUUGAGCAACAAUUAAAUCCCAUAAAUGUUAUCGUUCAAAGAUUGGACGUGGAUGGUCAAAAUACACCAUAAAUAUAUCCUGGUGGAGGGAGUAAUAUUCUUUCGCCAUGCAUGAACUUGCAUCAUCAUAUGUUCCACAUCAUCCAACAUUUUUCUCUUGUGAAUCAAAAAAGAAAUAAAAAAAUUGGAAAUCAAAAAUCAUGAAAUGGAUUUAACUCAGCAUAUAAUACAUACUAAAUUGAGUUGGCUUUAAAUAUCAUUGGUUGUGUUGGGUGCAUAAGCAUUGGGUUCUCAAAGAGAAUUCAGUAAUAUAAAUAAGUUUUAUGGCGUCAAUUUAAUUUUUUUGAUAAUAAUUGUUUUAGGUCAUCAAACAUAACUGAAUAAUCUGAAGAAAGUGUUAUGGAAACCCUUCGAACUAUGUAACUAUUACAUGUGUGUAAUAUGCAAGAAAAAGAUAUAAGCAAACAAUAUAUAUUUUUUGAAUAAUUUGGAAGCAAACAAUAUAUGUAGGAGAUAUAUUGAUAAAUCAAAGCUAGAGUUGCACCAUCUUAAUGUUUGUACAACUGUGCUUCUAAACAACAUUGUAGAAGCAAGUGUUUGCAAGAACCAUACACUAGUAGAAAAAGGGGCAAAUCUGAGACACCUUAGUGCCGGUUCGAUUUUGAGCCGACACUAAUGUGUCCAUUAGUGCCGGUUCGAUUUUGAGCCGACACUAAUGUGUCCAUUAGUGCCGGUUCAAACGGCUAGCCGGCCGCUCUCAUUAGUACCGGUUCAUGGUGAACCUUUAGCACCGGUUCGUGCCACGAACCGGUACUAAAGAGAGUGGUGGCAGGAUGUUGUCAGUCUGGGGCCCGUCCAGCACCUUUAGUACCGGUUCGUGGCACGAACCGGUACUAAAGGUCGACGUACAUAAACCCUUCGUCCACCCGAGCCACUCUGUUCUUCCCCUCACUUCCUCUGUUCUUCCCCUCUCUUCCUCGAGCUCCUCACAAAUUUUGCCCAAAAUUUGUCAAGAUUUGAAGGCCCACAUCCAUUCAAAUGAUCACAAAGGUUAGCAACUUUGUCCUUUCAACUCUCAUUGCUAGAUUAGCUCUUGCAAUGCUUUGUAUAGUGAUUAAUUUGGGAGGAAAUAUAUUUGCUAGUAUUUGAUUUAUAUGCAAUUUCAGGUCAAAAAUAACACUUAGUUUGCAUAUGUAGGUGUGGUUUACUUAGUGCCUUCUAAAUCUCCGUCGUAACCACCGUCGAUCGCCCGCACCAUCCCGUCGCCGGCACCACCUUGUGGUGAGGCUCUUGUUCAUGAAUGUUUUACAUUACCAAAUUGAUGUUUGUGUGAUUUGGAUAUAUAGUUACUCGUAUAAUUGUCUUACCCGUACGUUGUUUGUUAUACAUAGUGCCAUGGUUUUGAUAUCCGUCCCCGUCGGCCCUCGUCCUUGUUAUGAUUCGGAUGUGGUAUAUUCUCUUUUAAAACUAGUUGUUGCAUUUCGUGUUUAUGACAAAUUAUGCCCAUCAAGUUGACAUAGAUAUUUUUAUCUAGGAGGUAUGUGAACCGGAAAUUCCAACCGACCCUAUUGUCGAGAGGUUAAAUUUAGUUGAAAGAGAAAAUGAGUAUUUGAAAGAAAAAUUGAAAAGAAUUGAGGGGGAGAAGAUGGAAUUGGAGUUGCAUGUUGCCGAUGUCGUCGAUGAUCACAAGAUCAAGAUGGAGAAAAUGAGGUUAAAGAUUAGAAAGAUUAGAAAAUAUGCCAUUGAUAGUGUGGCUUGGUAUCAUUAUGUUGUUGGAUCAAUUGUUGCCUUAGUUGCGGUCUUGAUCGCAUUUGUUGUUGCAUUUAAAUUCUUUAGCUAGAGAGUUAUUUGUAUGUUGCAUUUAAUUAAGUGUUGUAUAUGAACUUUAUGUAUGAACUUUAUGUAUGAACUUGUAUUAAUUUGGUUUAUUCGGUGUUAUGUAUAAUGAAGAUAUGAGCCGACAAUGGAUAUAUGAUGACCGAUGCUCUCCCGGGUUCAUUAAUGGCGUGCAUAAUUUUCUGCUUGCCGCUGAGGCAAACAAGCGGGCGGAUGGUUUUAUGCCUUGUCCAUGUGCUGGCUGUAAGAAUUGUCACAAUUACUCUACGUCAAGAACCAUUCACGUCCACCUAUUUGAGUCCGGUUUCAUGCCCCACUAUAAUGUUUGGACCAAGCACGGAGAAAGAGGGGUUAUGAUGGAAGACAAUGAAAGAAGACGACGACAUCUAUCCUGGCCAUGGGUUCCCUGAAUACGAUGAUACAACAAUGGAGGAAGAAGCUGAGCCGGCAAUGCGGGAACAAGCUGAAGAAGAGGCAUCAGAUGAGCCCGCUGAUGAUCUAGUGAAAGGAUCAAUAUGGUUGACUAGAGGGGGUGAAUAGGCAACUAACAAUUUUUAAGCUUUUCUUUAACAAUUUAAACCUUGCGACAAAAUAGGUUGUCUAGAUAUGCAACUACGUGCACAACCUAUAUGAUGCAAUGACAACUAGCACACAAGCAAGCAAUAGAUACAACACAAGUAAGCUUGCAAAAGUAAAGGCAUGAAAUAACCAAGAGUGGAGCCGGUGAAGACGAGGAUGUGUUACCGAAGUUCCUUCCUUUUAAGGGAAGUACGUCUCCGUUAGAGCGGUGUGGAGGCACAAUGCUCCCCAAGAAGCCACUAGGGCCACCGUAAUCUCCUCACGCCCUCACACAAUGCGAGAUGCCGUGAUUCCACUAUUGGUGCCCUUGAAGGUGGCGACCGAACCUUUACAAACAAGGAUGGGGCAAUCUCCACAACACUUGGAGGCUCCCAACAACACCAUGAAGCUUCACCACAAUGGAGUAUGGCUUCGAGGUGACCUCAACCGUCUAGGGUGCUCAAACGCCCAAGAGUAACAAGAUCCGCUAGGGAUUAGUGGGGGGAUCAAAAAUCUCUUGGUGGAAGUGUAGAUCGGGCCCUUGUCACCCAAUCCCGAGCAAAUCAACAAGUUUGAUUGGCUAGGGAGAGAAAUCGGGCCAAAAUGGAGCUUGGAGCAAUAAUGGAGCUUGGAGGUGGAAGAGGUGGUCAACUAGAGGUAGGAGACGCCCCUUUUAUAGUUAUGGAAAAGAUCCAACCGUUAUCCACAUGUUUAGCCUGCGAAAUGCGGUACUACCGCUCCAGGGGCACGGUACUACCGCAAGGCCAUGCGGUACUACCGUGGAGGACCACGGUACUUCCGCGGCAGCAGCAGAGGCCGGGACUUGCCUGACUGGGUGCAGUACUACCGCUUGCGCGGUACUACCGCUCCCCCUUGCGGUACUACCGCAAGGCAGGAAAGUCAAUGCCUACAAAGAGCGCGGAUGAAAUAAAUUAUAUCCAUGCCUACUUCCGCUGAAAACGAAACAGUGCAAAAAUCCGACGCGGUACUACCACGCAUGAGGCGCGGUACUACCGUGGAGGCGCGGAUGUAAAAAAUUACAUCCGCUCCUACUACCGUGACGCAGCGGUACUAGGUAUAAGGGCCACGGUAUUACGACUCCGGGGGAGCGGUACUACCGUGGCCUCCCACGAUACUACCGCGCAGGAUGUGCGGUACUAUCGUGGGGGCGCGGAUGUAAAAAAUUACAUCUGCCCCUACUACCGUACCGGAGCGGCACUAGGCCUGGGAGCCACGGUACUAAGGCUCUAGAGGAGCGGUACUACCGUGACCCCUAGCGGUACUACCGCAGGUGCUUGCGGUAGUACCGCUCCAUAGAGCAGUACUACCGCAAGUACAACAGUAGCCGUCAGAUGAAGCACAACUAGGAUAACAGAGAGAUGCUCCAAAGUGCAAGGGAAAGGAAGGACAUGUGUACGUGUUGAUUCCACCCGAACCUUUCUGACACGAACCCCCUCUUAAUAGUACAGCUCUCCUACGACUCAAAUCCACCAAAGAGAAACGUAGAACAACGCCGUCUUCAACAGUCUUCGAGGGGCACCGAAUCGUCUCGUGCCUAGAGAUGAAGCGUCUAAGAAACUAAAGGCACACGAUUAGUCCGCAAAAGCAUUGUCAUCAAUCACCAAAACACUUAAGGGAUAAAUAUGCUCUUACAAUCUCCCCCUUUUUGGUGGAUUGAUGACAAUACGGGAUUUGCACAUAGAUGAGAUAAUAUAGGGCACAGGAAAACCCCUCCUCUCUAGAAUAUAGACGGGCUCCCCCUAGAUGUGUGCAAUCUAGAUAGAUGCUUUGGACUGCAUCGCACACAACCUAGGAUCAACACUCCCCCUAUAUUAUAGAGACAAAGGCAUGAUAACUAACAUCUAAGCAGAGCAUAUCACAAAGGUAGCACAAUAUAUCACAAGCUUGCUAAGAUAGAUAGAGUGCAUAUGUCUUACACCAUAUGAAGUAAAGCAACCCAAAGCAACUGAAACGAGGUUCAAAGAGAAAGCAGCAAACACGAACGAUGACACAAGACGUGCAAAUCCCUACACUCUCUCCCCCUUUGGCAUCGAGACGCCAAAAAGGCAGAGAGGACACCUACACACACGGGGUGGCUCAAGCAGGGAACUCAUCCCAACCCUCUCCGUCGGACUCCUCGGCAGCAGGGAUGGUCGCCUCGACGUCCUCCUCAGAAUUAGUCCACCUAUAGCCUUGCUUCUCCAUCCACUCGGCCUCUGGAGUGAUGCGAUCCUCAGAACCGCCAGACACAUCCUCACCAUAGAGCUGCAAGAUCUUCUUGUCCCGGCGAUGACUCUCCUUGGAUGCCAUGUGAGUUCUGUACUGGCCCUUGGCUUGCAUGCAGAAAAGAGUCUUCAUCUUGUCCUUCAGCUUCUUGGCCCACGAGGGCAUAGAGGAACUAUGGGAAGUCCUGGCAGCACGGUCCUUAGCAACAUCCUCUACGCCAACAUCCUCCUCAUCAACAGCAGCCCUAGCAGCAGACGCCUCAGCGCGAGUAGUAGUGUUAGCCCAGUUGGACUUGACACAGAGACAGAUGGGAUCAUGGCGAAUCCAGUCUGGCUCAAGGAACUCCUCACCAGGGAACAUCUUCUCCCAAGUCUUCGAUAUCAGCAGAAAAAGAUAAGGACCAUAGAUAGGCACUUUGCGGUUGAACACCGCAAACCGAAGCUCACACCACAUGAUGUGUGAGACAUCAAGUGGCUGAGUCUGAGACAACCGAGCCUUGUCCUUGUCACCAAUGCGAGGGAACAAGGAGUUGCGAAAGAUGCGAUACAUGAUAUCCAGAAAAGAGUUGAGCACAAACCCCGUCUUGCCAUUGGCAAGUGCCUUCUCAACAUAGUAUGGUUGAAGCUUGUCCUUGUUAGCAGACUCAGGAUUAGCAUGGGGGCGAACACCCACGGGAGUGUUGAGCCCGUCAUCAGGAACGUGGAGCAGGUCCAUGAACUCCUUCCAAGUAGCAGUCAUCAUACGGCCAUUGGUCAUCCAGGUCAUCCUCCGCUCCUCAUCAUGGUGAAAGUAUACUGAGGCAAAGAACUGACAGAUGAGCUCAAGGUCAUAGUCAAGGUGAAAAGAGAUCACAUGCUCAAUACCAAACUGCUCCACCAGGUCCAGAGCUUCUCCAAAGUACGCACGAUACUGGUCCUUCCUCAUGUGAUGCAUUUCUAUCCAUUUGACAUCCACAUAGGUAUUAUGCUUAUUCUUGAUGACAUCCAGAUAAAUGAGAGUCUGUUGCUUGUUCCAAAACAGCUCACAACCUUUGACAGUAGCACGAGGGUUCACAUACGGGUUGAGCUUCCUGAGACGGACAAACUCAGAUUGGGGUAUCUCGUCCAUGCCCUUAGCGGGUUCCUUGUGCUUGCUAGCUGAUGACUUGACAUGGCGCUUGGGAGCAGAGGAGCCCUCUGGUGCUUCACCUGGAUUGCGUAGACGCUUGGAGCCCGUGUCACGACUAGGGUUGGAACGGCGAGAGCCACCACCUGAGACACACACGCAAAACACGCACGAAAUGCAAAAAGGAUCAAUGCAAAGACCACGGUAAAGCACAAGAAACACAUAGAAAGUAUACAUGAAAGUUGCCAUGAGAUAGAUGUGAGCCACGGUAGUACUGCCUGAGCCUGCGGUACUAAAAUUUUAGUACCGCUCCAGGGUGCGGUAGUACCAUGCGAGGCACGGUAGUACCAUGGUUGGAGCGGUAGUAAAGUUUUAGUGCUGCAGUGAGUGCGGUAGUACCGCGCCAGAGGGCGGUAGUACCAAACAAGCGGUAGUACCGCGCCAGAUGGGCGGUAGUACCGCACCGCGUCAGAUCCAAGCGAUGGUUUGAAUCUGAAAAGAACCGCGAAACCCCGGUAGUGCUACGGUGAUCAAGUCUAGCACAGUACAAAGUACAAGUAUAAUUCCUACGCAAUACUAUGCUCCUUCAUCCUACUCUUGCAAAGAUUAAGCCUAAGAAUCUCAAGAACACACAAGUCUCCCCCAAAACCUAGAGACAACAAACACAACAAAAACGAGAAGGAGUUGGGGAAAGACCUUGGUCCAUAGCAAGAGCACGUGGUGGGGAGCGAUCCCACCGGUCGGAAUCACGGGAGGGCAGCCGGAGGCGGAGAUCCGAUGACGGAUGCCGGCUCCGUUCUUGAGCGAGGGAGAGAGAGAGACAAGAUGGGGAACGGGCGAAUGGGUAUGGGGGAGUUAGAACUCCCCCUGGCCGUCCUUAUCCCCACUCGUCCGAGCCGUCACGGUAGUACCGCAUAUCAUUGCGGUAGUACCACUUGGGCGGAAGUACUGCACCGAAGCGGUAGUACCGCUCUCCCAGGUGGCAGUAAAAAAUUACUGCCGUAUGGGGGCGGUAGUACCGUGCUCCCCUCAUGCGGUAGUACCGUAGUAGGCUGCGGUAGUACCGUGAGCUCAAGAAAAAGCUGGUUUCGACACACGAAAAGAGGUCUUUGCAAAGAAACUUCUAGCACAAAAAGACACCACAAGAACAUGAACAACCCAAAGGCAGAAAGACAACAAGAAGCAACCGCGCAACCCAACCUCUCAAAAGGAGAGGGGGUGCCGGAGCCACCUAUGUUUGAGUUAGUUGGUAUGGCACCGCGAAGAAUUAUCCUUGGGCCCAUGACCAAAACUCAUCUUUGAAGCACAAGUACCAUAAAAAAUGGCUAAUGUGAAAGAGUUGAUCGAUUUAUGCAUAAUGGGGGGAGGGAGAGUUCAUUGACAGAACAACACUCCCCCUAUGUCCAUGCCUACAUCUAAACUAGACAACAAGUUGAGUGUGGUGGGGGUGCAAGGGUUCAAGUCACGUUGCUCGAAUCAAUGAUAUUUAGCUCAUGCCUUAACUCGCGAAAUCUUGCUUCAUCCAAGGGCUUCGUGAAAAUAUCUGCAAGGUUAUCAUGAGUGUUGACAUACUUGAGCUCGAUCUCCCCUCGCCUAAUGUGAUCCCGGAUGAAGUGAUACCGAAUCUCAAUAUGCUUCGUCUUGAAGUGUUUCACCGGGUUGAGAGAAAUCUUGAUGGCACUUUCAUUAUCACACCAAAGAGGCACUUUGUCACAAAUGACACCGUACUCCUUUAAAGUUUGCCUCAUCCAUAAGAGUUGUGCACAACAACUACCGGCCGCCACAUAUUCCGCUUCGGUGGACGAGAGAGACACACAACUUUGCUUCUUGGAAGACCAACUUACCAAAGAGCAACCAAGAAAUUGGCACCCUCCGAAAGUGGACUUCCUAUCCACCUUAUCUCCCGCCCAAUCAGAAUCUGUGAAUCCUUCAAGCUUGAAGUUAGCUCCUCUUGGGUACCAUAGGCCAAAGUUUGGGGUAUGAGCCAAAUAUCGAAAGAUUCGCUUGACCGCCACAAAGUGGCUUUCCUUUGGUGCGGCUUGGAACCAUGCACACAUUCCCACACUCAACAUGAUAUCCGGUCUAGAUGCACAAAGGUAAAGCAAGGAACCAAUCAUAGAGUGAUAUACCUUUUGAUCCACCGCUUUACCAUUGGGAUCAAUGUCAAGUUGGCACUUGGUGGGCAUCGGAGUAGAGGCCGGCUUGACAUCACUUAGCUUGAAUCUCUUAAGCAUGUCUUGAGUGUAUUUGGCUUGGUUGAUGAAGGUACCUUCUCUUCUUUGUUUGAUAUCAAAACCAAGGAAGAACUUCAACUCUCCCAUCGAAGACAUCUUGAACUUAGAGGUCAUGAGAGUGGCAAAUUCUUCAUUGAAAGCAUUGUUAGGGGAACCAAAGAUAAUGUCAUCAACAUAUAGUUGGCACACAAACAACUCCCCUUUGACCUUCUUAGUAAAAAGAGUGGGAUCAAUUUGCCCUACUUCAAAUCCACGAUCUUGUAACAACUCGGUAAGGUGGUCAUACCACGCAUGUGGGGCUUGUUUAAGGCCAUAGAGUGCCUUAUCAAGUUGAUACACAUGAUCCGGGAAGUAAUGAUCCUCGAACCCGGGGGGUUGCUUGACAUAAACCAACUCAUUAAUAGGACCAUUAAGAAAAGCACUUUUCACAUCCAUUUGUUGUAGCUUAAAGUUGUGAUGGGAAGCAUAAGCAAUCAACAAACGAAUGGAUUCAAGGCGAGCAACGGGAGCAAAGGUUUCACCAUAGUCGAUACCCUCAACUUGGGAGUAGCCUUGUGCUACCAAUCUUGCCUUGUUGCGAAUGAUGUUCCCAUGAGCAUCUUGCUUGUUCUUGAAGAUCCACUUGGUUCCAAUGACGUUAUGGUUCCCCGAAGGCCUUGGCACCAACCUCCACGCCUUGGUGUACUUGAAGUUGUUGAGUUCUUCAUGCAUGGCAUUGAGCCAAUCCGAGUCUUCGAGCGCCUCAUAGACCUUUUGGGGUUCAACACAAGAGACAAACGCGUGAUGCUCACAAUAGUUUGCUAAUUUUCUACGAGUGCUUACCCCCUUUCUUAGGCUUCCAACCACAUUCUCCAUGAGAUGGCCUUUGGUGGUGAGUUUGGAAGCAAUCUUCGCGGCACGACGCUCUAAUUCCUCCUCGGAUGUGGAAGGAGGAGGGUUAACUUGAUCAUCUUGAGCGCCGUCUUGAGCUUGUUCUUGAUCUUGAGCUUGCUCAUGAUCUUGAACUUGCUCGAGGGGGAGAACUUGACCUUGGGCAUCAUUUGGAGGUUCACCAUCAUCUUGAGAUUGAUCUUGCCCUUGGUCUUGUUCCCGAGGUUGAGGGCCUACACUUUGUUCUUCGAAGCGUGUGGGUCUUGAGUAGGUGAAGGCUCCACUUGAGUGGAGCAUUUCCCUUCUCCUUCGGCCACAAGGGGUUCCUCAAUGGGUAGAAUAUGACCAAUACCCAUUCUUCUUAUGGCUUGGGGAGGAAUUUCAUCACCUACAUCACAAGUACCACUUUGCUCCACUUGGGAGCCGUUAUUUUCGUCAAACUCCACGUUACACGUCUCCUCAAUGAGUCUGGUGGACUUGUUGAGAACACGGUAAGCAUGAGAGUUUGUAGCAUAACCAACAAAUAUGCCCUCAUAAGCUCUAGCCUCAAAUUUAGACAAACGAACACCUUUCUUGAGAAUGAAACACUUACACCCGAACGCUCGGAAGUACUUGAGAUUGGGCUUGUUUCCGGUGAGUAUCUCAUAAGGAGUCUUGUUCAAGCCUUUGCGGAGAUAGAGCCGAUUGGAUGCAUGACAUGCGGUGUUGAUGGCUUCGGCCCAAAAGUUGUAUGGAGACUUGAACUCCGCCAUCAUGGUCCUUGUCGCAUUCGUCAACGUUCGGUUUUUCCUCUCCGCAACACCAUUUUGUUGAGGGGUAUAUGGUGCAGAAUAUUGAUGCUUGAUCCCCUCAUCACUAAGAAACUCAUCCAAGGUGUAGUUCUUGAACUCGGUGCCGUUGUCACUUCUUAUUGUCAAGAUCUUUGCAUUAUGUUGACGUUGAGCUUCAUUUAAAAAGUCGAUGACGGUUUGUUGAGUCUCACUCUUCCUCUUGAAGAAGUAUACCCAAGUGUAUCUUGAAUAAUCAUCCACAAUCACCAAGCAAUACUUUCUACCCCCAAGACUAUCAAAGGAUGGAGGACCAAAGAGGUCCAUGUGCAGGAGCUCCAAGGGUCUCUUCGAGUAGAUGAUAGUCGUGGGAGGGUGAGCCGUCUCAUGAAGCUUUCCUUCGAUACAAGCACUGCAAGCACGAUCUUUGGCAAAACUAACAUUUGUUAGUCCACGGACAUGUUCCCCCUUGAGAAGACUUUGCAAAGAUCUCAUAUUGACAUGGGCUAAACGGCGAUGCCAAAGCCAUCCCACAUCAACUUUAGCCAUUAGGCAUGUCGCGGUCUUAGUGGGUUGCUCCUAAAAGUUAAUCACAUAGAGACUGUUCUCGACAUGCCCAACAAAGGCUACUUUAAGAGUCUUGCUCCACAAGAGGGCCACGGUAUCAAUAUCAAAGAAGGUGGCAAAGCCCAUGAGUGCGAGUUGACGAACGGAAAGUAAAUUGAACGCAAGGGACUCAACAAGCAUGACUUUCUCGAUUGUUAGAUCAUGAGAAAUGACAACCUUGCCAAGACCCAAUACCUUAGAAUGCGAGGCAUCACCCCACUCGACAUUGGUGGGCAUAGAUGGGAUCUUUUGGACGUCCACCACCAAGUCCUUGCUCCCGGUCAUAUGAUUUGUUGCUCCACUAUCAAGCAACCAUGAUCCCCCACCGGAAGCAAACACAUACAAGAGAUCAAUGCUUGGUUUUAGGUACCCAUUUAGUAAUGGGUCCUUUGAUGUUAGUAACAUGGGUCUUAGGAACCCAAAUAGACCAUUCAAUGUACUCAUAAGAAGAACCAACAAAUUUAGCAUAAACAUGCCCAUCACUAGCACGGCACAACACAUAAGAGGGGUUAAAGUCGCCGGCUUUGUUGGGAGAGAUGGCUUUGCGCUCUUUGGCAUCACCACUCUUCGCAUUCUUCUUCUUCUCCUUAGGAGCACCCUCUCCCUCCUUCACAAAAGUUUGCUUGAGCGGGGGAGGUCAUUUGGUCUUGUUAUUCUUCUCCUUGUUCUUCUUCUUGUUCUUGGACUUGGGUGAAAACCCAACUCCCUCCUUGCCCACAACUUCCUUUUGAUUGCUCAAAAGGUCAUUUAGGUUCUUCUCACCUUGUAUGCAUGACACAAGUCCUUUCUCGAGUUGUUCCUUCAACUUGACAUUCUUCUCCACAAGAUGCACAUGCUCACAACACGGGUUAGUAGCAUUUGCAUUAUCAAUUAAGACCAUGUGAGGAAAUGUGGCCUUUUCCUUGGUUAGCUUAACUUGGAGUUGAGCAUGAGACUCCUUGAGGUUUGCAUGAGCACUUUUCAAGACCUUAUGGGCCUUGUCAAGUACAUCAAACUCCUCCUUGAGUCUAGCAUGAUCAACCCCAAGCUUAGCCUUCUCGGAAGUUAGAACACGAGACACAACAAGAGCAUGAUCAAGAUCUUUCUUUAAUUUGGCAUGGUCAUCAUUGUGUGACUCCUCAAGAGCCAAACGAUGCCCACGCUCUUCCUCAAGAGCAUUAGAGAGAUCCGAUAUCUCAUCGGCAUAGUCAUGACUAUGACCUUCCAUCUUAGAGAUGGUUUCUUCGUGAGCCUCAAUCAUGUCAUUGGCUUCACCAAGUUGUUCCAAGAGAGCAACGAAGUGCUUCUUGGAUUUGCCAUUGAGCUUACUCAUGAAGGACUCAAAUUCAUUUACCUCCUCAUUAUACCCCUUACCAUCAUCAAAGCCAACCGUUGAAGAAGGAUUAGGAAUAAUGGUGGUUUUGAUGUUGGGGGUUACCUUGUUGGUGGACUUAGCCAUGAGGCACUUGGCGGUGAUGUUCUCGUUGGGUGAAUCGAAAAGAGACACCCGGGGAGUUGUGGCAAUGGCAACGGAUGCCAUGGCCAUUGCUUCACUAUCUUCAUGAUCAUCAUCAUCCUCACGGUAUUCUUCUUGAACCACCAACCCGCGAGUAGGAGUCUUCUUGGUGAAGUUGUUCUUGUUGGGGAAGGACUUGGCCUUGUCUUUUCGGAUGAACUUGCCACGAUUGUCUUCCCACUUCUCGUAAGGACAAUCCGCAACGAAAUGGCUCACAUUGCCACAGUUGAAACAAGUUCUAACUCGUUGCUUUCCAUUGAUGCCACUUGAGUUGUUCUUGUUGAAGUUGGGUCUUGUAUUCUUCUUGCUCCAGAAUUGUCUUAAGGCAAGAGCCAUGUGCUCAUGAUAAUCAUAUUUUGUGUCUUCGGGGUUGCUCUCCUCAUCUUAUUCUUCUUCCUCUUCUUCCACAUUGACCUUGGCCUUCAAGGCAAGGUUGGGCUUCUUUGCCCUUUGAUAACGGAGCACCGCAUUAUCAGCGGUCUUGUCCAAGAUGCUCAUUGCAACGAACUCAUCCAACACUUCACUUGAGGUCAUGGAGUGGAAGUCCGGUCUUUGAUGAAUGACGGAGGACAUGGCCUUUUUGUAGGGCAUCAUGGCCUUGAGGAACUUGCGCUUGAUCCAAUUGUCAUCCGUGUCCUUGCUCCCAUGAUCUCGGAGUGCGACCACGAGUUUGGUCACUCUUCGAAAGAGCUCACGAGGUUCUUCAUCUUCUUUCAUUGCAAACUCAUCAGCUUCAUCUUGCACCACUUCAUAUUUGGAGCGUUGAAUGCUAGAACUUCCUCGAUAGAGAGACAAAACACAUUUCCAUGCGUCUUUAGCCAUGGCAUGAGGUCGAAGAUGAGGGAGAUCUUCGGGAAGGAUUGCAUCUUGGAUGAUGAAGAGAUCACUCUCAUUGAAUUGAUUAUCCACGGCUUCUCGAGGGGUGAAGUUGCUUGGGUCAUGUGGAUAGAAACAUUCUUCUAUAAUUCUCCAAAGAUUAGUGUUUUAAAUGACGCUUGAAACGAUACACCCAAGCAUCAAAAUCCUCAUUUUUCACAAUCUUAGGAGGAGGACCGGCAUGAUUUAAAUGAGUAGUGGGAAUCGGUCCACCAUAAGUAGGAGGUUCCACAUGGGCAAAGAUGUCGGAGCCAUUUCUACCACUAGUAGAAGGACCUUUUUCACUAUUAGCUUCCCCCUUGUCAGAGGUGGCAUCCGUCACCUUGUUAGUGGGAUCACCCACUUUCAUCGGCGAGGUGGAUAGUUUAAGUCCUUCUAGGAAUUCAGAAAACAUGCUUUUAACCUCGGCCGUCAUGGAGGUUUUCAAUGUGUCUAAAGCCACAUUGAAUUCCUCACGUGAGACCGAGGUUCCCCCAUCGGCCGUAGACGAGAUAGGAUUCACAUCGGAGUGCUCCUCCACACCGUCGUUGGUGUCAACCAUACUCUUCGGACGGCAAAGUCCUUAAUAAAGAGACGAGGUUCUGAUACCAAUUCAAAGGAUCGAUAUGGUUGACUAGAGCGGGGGUGAAUAGGCAACUAACAAUUUUUAAGCUUUUCUUUAACAAUUUAAACCUUGCGAAAAAAUAGGUUGUCUAGAUAUGCAACUACAUGGACAACCUAUAUGAUGCAAUGACAACUAGCACACAAGCAAGCAAUAUAUACAACACAAGUAAGCUUGCAAAAGUAAAGGCACGAAAUAACCAAGAGUGGAGCCGGUGAAGACGAGGAUGUGUUACCGAAGUUCCUUCCUUUUAAGGGGAAGUACGUCUCUGUUAGAGCGGUGUGGAGGCACAAUGCUCCCCAAGAAGCCACUAGGGCCACCGUAAUCUCCUCACGCCCUCACACAAUGCGAGAUGCCGUGAUUCCACUAUUGGUGCCCUUGAAGGCGGCGACCGAACCUUUACAAAGGAGGAUGGGGCAAUCUCCACAACACUUGGAGGCUCCCAACAACACCACGAAGCUUCACCACAAUGGAGUAUGGCUUCGAGGUGACCUCAACCGUCUAGGGUGCUCAAACACUCAAGAGUAACAAGAUCCGCUAGGGAUUAGUGGGGGAGUCGAAAAUCUCUUGGUGGAAGUGUAGAUCGGGCCCUUGUUACCCAAUCCCGAGCAAAUCAACAAGUUUGAUUGGCUAGGGAGAGAGAUCGGGCCAAAAUGGAGCUUGGAGCAACAAUGGAGCUUGGAGGUGGAAGAGGUGGUCAGCUAGAGGUAGGAGACGCCCGUUUUAUAGUUAUGGAAAAGAUCCAACCGUUAUCCACAUGUUCAGCCUGCGAAAUGCGGUACUACCGCUCCAGGGGCGCGGUACUACUGCAAGGCCAUGCGGUACUACCGUGGAGGACCACGGUACUUCCGCGACAGCAGCAGAGGCCGGGACUUGCCUGACUGGGUGCAGUACUACCGCUUGCGCGGUACUAUCACUCCCCCUUGCGGUACUAUCGCAAGGCAGGAAAGUCAGUGCCUAUGAAGAGGGCGGAUGAAAUAAAUUACAUCCGUGCCUACUUCCGCUGAAAAUGAAACAGUGCAAAAAAUCCAACGCGGUACUACCGCGCACGAGGCGCGGUACUACCGUGGAGGCGCGGAUGUAAAAAAAUUACAUCCGCUCCUACUACCGUGACGCAGCGGUACUAGGUAUGAGGGCCACGGUACUACGACUCCGGGGGAGCGGUACUACCAUGGCCUCCCGCGGUACUACCGUGGGGGCGCGAAUGUAAAAAAUUACAUCUGCCCCUACUACCGUAGUGGAGCGGCACUAGGCCUGGGAGCGACGGUACUAAGGCUCCAAAGGAGCGGUACUACCGUGACCCCCAGCGGUACUACCGCAGGUGCUUGCGGUACUACCGCUCCAUAGAGCAGUACUACCGCAAGUACAGCAGUAGCCGUCAGAUGAAGCACAACUAGGAUAACGGAGAGAUGCUCCAAAGUGCAAGGGAAAGGAAGGACAUGUGUACGUGUUGAUUCCACACGAACCUUUCCGACGCGGACCCCCUCUUAAUAGUACGGCUCUCCUACGACUCAAAUCCAUCAAAGAGAAACAUAGAACAACGCCGUCUUCAAUAGUCUUCGAGGGGCACCGAAUCGUCUCGUGCCUAGAGAUGAAGCGUCUAAGAAACUAAAGGCACACGAUUAGUCCGCAAAAGCACUGUCAUCAAUCACCAAAACACUUAAGGGAUAAAUAUGCUCUUACAUCUAGGUCGGGCCAUUGCCGAUGCAAAGAGAAACCGCGCAAGUGAUUUGGAGAGGAAGAAGUUGCAGCGCAUGUUAGAGGAUCACAAGAAAUUGUUGUACCCAAAUUGCGAAGCUGACAAAAAAAGUUUGUUACCACACUGGAAUUGCUGCAAUGGAAGGCAGAGAAUGGUGUAUCUGACAAGGGAUUUGGAAAGUUGCUGGUAAUGAUAAAGAAUAUGCUUCCAAUGGACAACGAAUUGCCUGAGAGUACGUAUGAAGAAAAGAAGGUUGUCUGCCCUCUAGGGUUAGAGGUGCAGAAGAUACAUGCAUGCCCUAAUGACUGCAUCCUCUACCGCGGUGCGUACGAGGAUUUGAACACUUGCCCGGUAUGUGGUGCAUUGCGUUAUAAGAUCAGUCACGAUGACCCUGGUGAUGUCGAGGGCGAGCGCCCCAGGAAGAAGAUUCCUGCCAAGGUGAUGUGGUAUGCUCCUAUAAUACCACGGUUAAAACGCUUGUUCCAAAACAAAGAGCAUGCGAAGGCGAUGCGGUGGCACAGAGAAGACCGUAAGAAAGACGAAAAGUUGAGAGUACCCGCUGACGGUUCGCAGUGGAGAAAAAUCGAGAGAAAGUACAGGGAGGAGUUUGCAGGUGACCCAAGGAACGUAUGGUUUGGUCUAAGCGCAGAUGGCAUUAAUCCUUUUGGGGAGCAGAGCAGCAACCAUAGCACGUGGCCUGUGACUAUAUGUUUGUAUAACCUUCCUCCUUGGUUGUGCAUGAAGCGGAAGUUCAUUAUGAUGCCAGUGCUCAUCCAGGGUCCUAAGCAACCCGGCAACGACAUUGAUGUGUACCUAAGGCCAUUAGUUGAAGAACUAUUACAGCUGUGGAAUGGAACAGGUGUACGUGCGUGGGAUGAGCACGGACAGGAAGAAUUUGACCUAAAGGUGUUAUUGUUCGUGACCACCAAUGAUUGGCCUGCUCUCAGUAACCUUUUAGGACAGACAAACAAGGGAUACCGCGGAUGCACGCACUGUUUGGAUGAUACUGACAGUAUAUAUUGGAGUGUUGUAGGAAGAAUGUGUACCUGGGACAUCGUCGAUUUCUUCCGAGCAGGCAUCCCGUAAGAAAGAAAGGCAAGCAUUUCAAAGGUGAGGCGGAUCAUCGGACGAAGCCUCGCCACCGUCCUGGUGCUGAUGUACAUGAUAUGGUCAAGGAUUUGAAGGUAAUCUUUGGAAAGGGUCCUGGCGGACAACCUGUUCCCAAGGACGCUGACGGACGCACGCCCAUGUGGAAGAAGAAAUCUAUAUUUUGGGAUCUGCCCUAUUGGAAAGACCUAGAGGUCCGCUCCGCAAUCGAUGUGAUGCACGUGACGAAGAAUCUUUGCGUGACCCUCCUUGGCUUCUUGGGCGUGUAUGGGAAGACAAAAGAUACACCAGAGGCACGUGAGGACCAGCAACGUAUGCACGGAAAAGACGACACACAUUAGGGUCAGGCCAGCUAUGCUCUUACCAAAGAAGAGAAGGAAAGCUUCUUUGAAUGCCUGCUCAGCAUGAAGGUACCGUCUGGCUUCUCGUCGAAUAUAAAGGGAAUAAUAAAUAUGGCAGAGAAAAAGUUCCAGAACCUAAAGUCUCAUGACUGCCACGUGAUUAUGACGCAACUGCUUCCGGUUGCAUUGAGGGGGCUUCUACUGAAAAAUGUUCGAUUAGCCAUUGUAUAGCUAUGUGCAUUCCUCAAUGCCAUCUCUCAGAAGGUAAUCGAUCUAGAAAUCAUACCAAGGUUACAGAAUGAUUUGGUGCAAUGUCUUGUCAGUUUUGAGUUGGUGUUCCCACCAUCCUUGUUCAACAUCAUGACGCACGUCCUAGUUCACCUUUGCAAAGAGAUUAACGUUUUGGGUCCUGUAUUUCUACACAAUAUGUUCCCCUUUGAGAGGUUCAUGGGAGUUUUGAAGAAAUAUGUUCAUAACCGUGCUAGGCCAGAAGGAAGCAUUGCAAAGGGCCAUGAAAAUGAGGAGGUCAUUGAGUUUUGUAUUGACUUUAUUCCUGACCUUAAGCCGAUUGGUGUUCCUGAAUCGCGGCAUAAGGGCGGUGAGGGAGUCCUGGACUAGGGGGUGUCCGGAUAGCUGAACUAUCAUCAUCGGUCGGACUCCAAGACUAUGAAGAUACAAGAUUGAAGACUUUGUCCCGUGUCCGGAUGAGACUUUCCUUGGCGUGGAAGGCAAGCUUGGCGAUACGGAUAUGUAGAUCUCCUACCAUUGUAACCGACUCUGUGUAACCCUAGCCCUCUCCGGUGUCUAUAUAAACCGGAUGGCUUUAGUCCAUAGGACGAACAACAAUCAUACCAUAGGCUAGCUUCUAGGGUUUAGCCUCCUUGAUCUCAUGGUAGAUCUACUCUUGUAAUACCCACAUCAUCAAUAUCAAUCAAGCAGGACGUAGGGUUUUACCUCCAUCAAGAGGGCCCAAACCUGGGUAAAACAUCGUGUCCCUUGUCUCCUGUUACCAUCCGCCUAGACGCAUAGUUCGGGACCCCCUACCCGAGAUCCGCCGGUUUUGACACCGACAUUGGUGCUUUCAUUGAGAGUUCCUCUGUGUCGUCACCGAUAGGCUCGAUGGCUUCUUCGAUCGUCAACAACGACGCAGUCCAGGGUGAGACUUUUCUCCCCGGACAGAUCUUCGUAUUCGGCGGCUUUGCACUGCGGGCCAAUUCGCUUGGCCAUCUGGAGCAGAUCGAAAGCUACGCCCCUGGCCGUCAGGUCAGAUUUGGAAGUUUGAACUUCACGGCUGACAUCCGCGGAGACUUGAUCUUCGAUGGAUUCGAGCCACAGCUGAGCGCGCCGCACUGUCAUGAUGGGCAUGAUUUAGCUCUGCAGCCGGACAGUGCCCUGGAGGCCGCACACGAGCCCGCUGCGACCCUCGAUUCGGAGCCGGCUGCGCAGAUCGAGGACGGGUGGCUAGACACCGCCUCGGGGGCUGCAACCUCUACGGUGAUGGAGCCGAAUACUGGCAUUGUCCCUUGUGAAGCUCAUGACUCCGAGGUGCCGGACUCCUCGCCGGACUCCGAACCUCCCGCGACCCCUCCAAUCGAAUCCGAUUGGGCGCCGAUCAUGGAGUUCACCGCUGCGGACAUCUUUCAACACACACCUUUCGGCGACAUCUUGAGUUCGCUAAAGUAUCUCUUGUUAUCAGGAGAGCCCUGGCCGAACUGCGGUCAGGACGGUUGGGAUGCGGACGGCGAAGAAAUUCAAAGCCCACCCACCACCCACUUAGUAGCCACUGUCGACGAUCUAACGGACAUGCUAGACUUCGACUCCGAAGACAUCGACGGUAUGGACGACGAUGCCGGAGAUGACCAAGAACCAGCGCCUACUGGGCACUGGAAAGCCACCUCAUCAUAUGACAUAUACAUGGUAGAUAUCCCAAAGGAUGGGAAUGGCGAAGGAACAGCGGAGGAUGACCCCUCCAAGAAACAGCCCAAGCGCCGGCGUCAGCGGCGCCGCUCUAAAUCCCGCCACAGCAAGAAUGGAGAUUUCGGCACCGGAGAUAAUAAUACCCCAGACAGUGCCGAAGACAACCCCCUCCAGCAAGAUUCAGCACAGGAGGACGAAGAAGCCAGCCCUCAUGAGAGGACGGCAGACGAAGAGGUAGAGGAUGAUAAUUACAUGCCUCCCUCCGGAGACGAGGCAAGCCUCGACGACGACGAAUUUGUCGUGCCUGAGGAUCCCGUCGAACAAGAGCGUUUUAAACGCAUGCUUAUGGCCACGACAAAUAGCCUGAAGAAAAAGUAGCAACAGCUUAGUGCUGAUCAAGAUCUGCUAGCCGACAGAUGGACUGAAGUCCUUGCGGACGAAGAGCAUGAGCUCGAACGCCCCUCCAAAAGCUACCCCAAACGCAAGCUGCUCCCCCGAUUAGAGGAGGAGGCAUAUAAACCUGCAUCACCAGCACACAAUACGGCUGACCGACCACCCCGUGGCCGCGACAGAGAGGCCUCUAGGCCCUCCACUAGAACCGUACCCCGGCAUCGCUCGAAAAGCACAAGACCGCAGGGGAACGCUCUGGACUUGCGAGAUAUAUUGGAGGAUAAGGCAAGACAAUAAAGAUCGAUCUACGGAUCGCGUAGGCGCCCCAUGAUACGUGACGACAACCGUCGCGCUGAACGCAGCAAGUCCGGUCGGGCCGAACACAGUAGACAAAGCUCUUUUGAGCUUCGUCGUGAUAUAGCCCAAUACAGAGGCGUCGCACACCCACUACGCUUCACAAAUGAAGUAAUGGAUCAUCAAAUCCCCGAAGGGUUUAAACCCGUGAAUAUUGAAUCUUAUGAUGACACAACAGACCCCGCGGUUUGGAUUAAAGACUAUCUACUUCAUAUCAACAUGGCCCGCGGUGAUGAUCUUCACGCCAUAAAAUACCUCCCACUCAAGCUUAAAGGACCAGCUCGGCAUUGGCUUAACAGCUUGCCAGCAGAACCAAUUGGGUGUUGGGAGGACCUGGAAGCCGCAUUCCUUGAUAACUUCUAGGGCACGUAUGUGCGACCACCAGACGCUGAUGACCUAAGCCAUAUAAUUCAGCAGCCAGACGAAUCGGCCAGACAAUUCUGGACACGGUUCUUAACCAAGAAAAAUCAAAUCGUCGACUGUCCGGAUGCGGAGGCCCUCGCGGCCUUCAAACAUAACAUCCGCGACGAGUGGCUUACCCGCACCUGGGACAGGAAAAGCCGAAAUCAAUGGCAGCCCUCACAUCACUCCUGACCCACUUCUGCGCGGGAGAGGACAGCUGGCUAGCCCGCAGCAACAACCUCAGCAAAAAUUCUGGCAGUCCGGAUAUCAAGGACCGCAAUGGCAGGUCGCGUCGCAACAAGAACAAACGCCGCAUUAACGGCGACAAUAAUGAGGAUAUGACAGUCAAUGCCGGAUUCAAAGGCUCUAAACCCGGUCAGCGGAAAAAGCCAUUCAAAAGAACUACUCCGGGUCCGUCCAAUUUGGACCGAAUACUCGGGCGCUCGUGCCAGAUACACGGCACCCCCGAAAGGCCAGCUAACCACACCAACAGGGACUGUUGGGUAUUCAAGCAGGCAGGCAAGCUAAUUGCCGAAAACAACGACAAAGGGCUGCAUAGCGAUGACGAGGAAGAGACCCGACCACCGAACAAUAGAGGACAGAAGGGUUUCCCCCCACAAGUGUGGACGGUGAACAUGAUAUACACAACCCACAUACCCAAAAGGGAGCGGAAGCGUGCACUCAGGGAUGUAUACGUGAUGGAGCCAGUCGCCCGAAGUUCAACCCAUGGUCCUCCUGCCCGAUCACUUCUGAUCGAAGGGACCACCCCACCAGCAUCCGCCACGGCGGAUUCGCCGCAUUGGUUUUAGACCCAAUCGUCGAUGGAUUUCACCUCACCAAAGUCCUGAUGGACGGCGGCAGCAGCCUGAACCUGCUUUAUCAGGAUACAGUGCGCAAAAUGGGCAUAGACCCUUCAAGGAUUAAACCCACAAAGACGACCUUUAAAGGCGUCAUACGAGGUGUAGAGGCCAAUUGUACAGGCUUAGUUACACUGGAAGUGGUCUUCGGAUCCCCGGAUAACUUCCGAAGCGAGGAGUUAAUCUUCGACAUAGUUCUGUUCCGCAGCGGCUAUCAUGCUCUGCUCGGACGUACCGCGUUUGCAAAGUUCAACGCGGUGCCGCACUACGCAUACCUCAAGCUCAAGAUGCCAGGCCCUCGAGGAGUCAUCACGGUCAACGGAAACACUGAACGCUCUCUCCAAACGGAGGAACAUACAGCGGCUCUCGCGGCAGAAGUACAGUGCAGCCUCUUAAGGCAAUUCUCGAGUCCGGCCAUUAAGCGACCGGACACGGCUAAACGCGCCCAAAGUAACCUACAACAAGACCACCUGGCACGUUCCGAGAACGCGUAGCAAUGCGGACCCAACCCCAGCCCCUGCAAAAUUGCAAGACUGGUCCUUCGCAUACAUCAUUACGCUCUGGAGAUACCAUGGGCAUAGGGGGAGGGGCACGACCACGAUAGGCCCAGAAUGCGGCUUAACCACACCAGGGGCUCUCAAGUGUGUCGUUCUUUUUUUUCUUUUUCUCUUUUUUCUUUUUUUACCCACAGGACUCCGUUCAUCAGAGGCCCUGUCCGGCAGUAGACCUGCCGAACUCACGAUGCAACAGCCAGGGAAGGAGAAAGGCUACGACGAAUAUCCAGGUGGUAUCCAUUACGAGCAUUAAAUCUGUUUUAUACACCAUUCCGCGGCCUACCCCUGGAGGGGGACAUGUUUAAUAGUCCCAUCCCUUGCUUACCGCACUAUUUGUAUCGCUCUGCAUUCACGGCAGUAUUUCUUGAAUAAACAAUGCAGCACCUUUUUGCUUAUAAUUGCAUUUCUUUCUUAUACAUAUGUUCAUUUAUGACAUGUUGCAUCCGUACACUUUGGUACGGCUAAAUACACCAGGGGCUUAUGUUUCCCGCAUCAUGGUGUGAUAAGUCCGAACACUUUCACAAGUGCGGCACCCCGAACUUAUAGCAUUAUAUGCAUCGGCUCCGAAUCAUGUCUUGGGUCAAUAGUUGGGUUUGCCCGGCUCCCAUGUUUUGGUACCUUACGUUCCGUUUUAUCGGCUAAGGUAGCACUGGGAGAACCACUGCGAUUGCACCCCAGUUGAGCUGGGCGAGCGCCUCAAUGGAGAAAGCUAAAACUGACCGUCAUGAUGAGGCGAGAGCCGGUCGCUGUUCGAGAGGUUUUUCUCGAGUCCCUAAAGACUUAUGCCGCUUAGAGCGAGGAACCGGCUUUGUCCGGCCCAGGCGUGGAUAGCGCCCCAAAUUCGGCCUUCUGAACACUAGGAGCUUCGCUGAAAUUUAAAAUUAUAGAAUUCUAUGGCUAGGUGAGAGUGUUCAAGCAUUAUAAGUCCGGUUGCCUCGUUCAUUGUGUUGAGCGUCUCCCUAGAUGGACCCAAAAAUGGGAACAAGAAUGCUCAAAUUUAUCCCGAACACCCCAGCACUCAUGGCAUGGGGGCUGAAGCCGAUGACUUGCCAUCUCUCAGAUUUGAUAAACGGCCGCACAUAAGGUAAUAUUUUAAAUUAACAAGCAUUGCUUAGCGCAUAUGAACAAAGUUUUCAGCGCACAGGAUAAAAAAAUGCGAGUCUACUCAAAUAUUACAUCUUUGGAGCACUCACCCGCAAUAAUGCGGGCACCCUUCAGGACACUCUUAUAAUACAUCUCGGGCGUGCGAUACUCCUUGCCCGGUGGCGGCACGUCCGUCACAAGCUUCUCAGCAUCCAUCUUGCCCCAUUGCACCUUUGCGCGGGCAAGAGCCCGACGGGCACCUUCAAUACAGGCGGAGUGCUUGAUGACUUCAACCCAUGGACACGCAUCCACCAGCCGCCGCACCAGGCCGAAGUAGCUCCCAGGCAUGGCCUCCCUGGGCCACAGCCGAACUAUGAGGCCCUUCAUGGCCUGUUCGGUCACCUUGUGGAGCUCGACCAGCUGCUUCAGCUGGUCGCUAAGGGGCACCGGAUCUCCGGUCUCAGCAUACUGAGACCAGAAGACCUUCUCCGUCGAGCUCCCCUCCUCGGCCCUAUAGAAAGCGGCAGCAUCGUCACGCUGCAGGGCAGAUCUGCGAAUGCUCCUGGAGAGCUCCGAAUUCGGGUAAGUGAUAGGUAAUUCACACUCACAUGCUUGCUUUGCAUGAAAAAUGCCUUACCCGCCGCUAUUUUCUUCAACGCCUCGAUUUCCUAGAGGGCCUUGUAGGCUUCGGCCUUAGCGGCUUUGGCACUCUCAAGAGCCGAUGCAAGCUCGGACUUUCGAGUCUUCGAGUUGCGCUCCAAACUCUCAUGUUUUUCCACGAGAGCCUGGAGCUCUUGCUGUACCUCCGCCACCCGCGCCUCCUGCUUCUCUCGCUCGGUGCGCUCCGCGGCCGCAUUACGUUCGGCUGCGGACACCGCCUCCUUCAGGGUCGCCACCUCGUUCGUGGCCCCUGCAAUACCCACGUUAUCCUUGUCAUUCUUCUUGCAACCAAAUCCUUUUCUGUAAGGUACAAUUUUAAUAAGGUGUUACUCACCUUCCUUGUCCUCGAGCUACUUCUUGGCACGGCCGAGCUCGUUCUCAGACCGCUCGAGGUUUUCCUUCAAAGUAUUGACCUCCACAGUCAGUGCGGCAGAGGUCAGCAGCACAGCCUGCAAUCCCAUAUUGACAUAUUUUUUAUGACUCCUGUGUAUAUCUUUUUAGAUCCUCAGUCCGGCUUUUCUUUCCGAACACCGAACUGAGCAUCAGGGGCUACUGUCUAUGCGGUACUAUUUUACAUAUAUCAAAAUUCUUACCUUAAAGCCUGUUAGAAGGCUGCUGCAGGCUUCGGUCAGCCCGCUCUUGGCGAGCUGAACCUUCUGAAUCACCGCACUCAUGACGGUGCAGUGUUCCUCUUCGAUGGAAGCGCCGUUGAGCGCCUCCAGCAAGCUAUCCGGCGCCUCCGGUUGGACGGAGGCCGCCGGCGUCACGGUCUUGCCCUUCUUACGAAGGGGCCGCCCGCCGGACUCCGGAGCCACUACAGGUUCCGGUGCGGAGUCCGGUGCAAAGUCCGGGAGGUUGUCUUGCGGCACCUCCGGGGCCUCCUCCUCCUGGCGGGUCCCUUCCCAGGAUCCCACCUCAGCAUCGUCCGCAUCACGGGGGGUGGAGGCGGUCGGAAGGGAAUCCAUAUCCGACGCACCCAAGGACCCGCUCGACGAAGCGGGAAGAUCAUCCUUGGGCGGAUUGCAGGGUUGUAUGUCGCAUUAGAAAGACACCAUGUGGCGAAAAGAAAAAUCAUGAAGUUAUUCGGGAGUCCGGAUACUUACGAUCUCGCCAGGGGCUUGGCCCUUGAAGGCCAAUCCUCGUCGUCGUCGCCGGCGUUGGCAGAGCAGUCCGGGGGAAGAGUCCUUCCCUUCUUGGACCCUCCGGCCUCCCUCGUUGGGGAGGCCCUCCUUUUCUUCCCUCCUCCCGCUGGGGGAGAGGCCUCUUUCUUCUCCUCCCCGCCUUCAUGGGAGGAGUCCGCAUUGGAGUCAUCGGGCGAUGAGUCCGAUGACACCUAAAAACGGGAACUCUUUCGAGUACCCGUGGCCUUCUUCUUGGCCUUCUUCUCCCGCACCACAUGGGGUGCUGGAACCAACAGCCCCGUUAAGCGGGCGUCCGCUGGGUCUUCUGGCAAAGGGGCCGGGCAAUUAGUCCGCUCGGCCUUCUUCAACCAGUCCUGUCAAAGGAGAGGGAGUUUAGAUCCCGCAUAGAGUCAAACUAUGGAAAACAAGUGCCCCGUAAAGGGUAAAAUCGCUUACCUCGCUAGCCGGACGCUGCGAGCUAAAUCCGCGAUCUUCGGUAGCGGAUGCGGGAGCCUCGGCGCCCUUAAACAGCACCCUCCAGGCCUCUUCGUACGUAGUGUCGAAGAGCCUACUCAAAGUCUGGUGCUGCGCCGAAUCGAACUCGCACAUAUUGAAGUCCCGUUGUUGGCACGGGAGAAUCCGGCGGAUGAGCAUGACCUGGACUACGUUGACAAGCUUGAGCUUCUUGUUCACUAGCUUUUGGACACAGGCUUGGAGUCCGGUCAGCUCCUCUGAAUCACCCCAUGUCAGGCCACUCUCUUUCCAGGAGGUGAGCCGUAUGGGGAUGCCAGAUCUGAAUUCGGGGGCCGCUGCCCAUUUAGGGUCAUGCGGCUCGGUGAUGUAGAACCACCCCGAUUGCCACCCUUAAUGGUUUCCACGAAGGUGCCCUCCAGCCAAGUAACGUUGGGCAUCUUGCCCACCAUGGCGCCUCCGCACUCCGCUUGUUUGCCCUUCACAACCUUCGACUUGACACUUAAGGUCUUGAGCCACAAGCUGAAGUGGGGCUGGAUGCAGAGGAAGGCCUCACACACGAUGAUAAACGCCGAGAUGUUGAGUAUGAAAUUCAGGGCCAGAUCAUGGAAAUCCAGGCCGUAGUAGAACAUGAGCCCCCGCACAAAGGGAUGGAGUGGGAAGCCUAGUCCGCGGAGGAAAUGGGAAAGAAAUACUACCCUCUCAUGGGGCCCGGGGGUGGGGAUGAGCUGCCCCUCGUCGGGGAGCCAGUGCACGAUGUCGCUGGACAGAUAUCCGGCGCUGCGCAGCUUCUUGAUGUGCUCCUCCGUAACGGAGGAGGCCAUCCACUUGCCUCUCGCUCCGGACAUAGUUGGAGAAGGUUGAGGUGAGAUGUGCGGACUUAGGCGCUGGAGCUCGAGUUCGCGGAGAUGGAUAAGCUACAGAGGAAGAAGGCGUAGGUAAAAGGGUGGAUCUUUAUCCCCUUAUAUGGGCGGACGAAACCAUGCGUCCCCACCGGCCUGAUAAAACUCGCUUAUCUCCCAAGCGUCGUAAUCAAUGGCGUGGUUGGGUUACCCACGUCCGUAUUGAUGAGAAUCCCGGAAUAAGGGGAACACGAUCUCUGCUUCGACAAGACGUGCCAAGGAAACUGCUUCGCUAAACGCGCGGAGGUGGUAUAAUAAAAACGAUUCGAGUAAAGGCUUGGUUGUGGUGUGAUGUCACGCCACAAAAUACGUCAACAGAUUGAACUUGUGUAAAUAUUAUUCUCUCUACGGUGGUAUGUGGAAUUUGUUUUGCAGAGCCGGACACUAUCCUGGUGUUCACGAUCUUCUAUGAAUUAUUCGGAGAGGAACCCACCUUGCAAUGCCGAAGACAAUAUGCGCGCCGGACUCGUCUUCAUUGAAGCCUGGUUCAGGUGCUACUGAGGGAGUCCUGGACUAGGGGGUGUCCGGCUAGCCGAACUAUCAUCAUCAGCCGGACUCCAAGACUAUGAAGAUACAAGAUUGAAGACUUCGUCCCAUGUCCAGAUGGGACUUUCCUUGGCGUGGAAGGCAAGCUUGGCUAUACGGAUAUGUAGAUCUCCUACCAUUGUAACCGACUCUGUGUAACCCUAGCCCUCUCCGGUGUCUAUAUAAACCGGAUGGCUUUAGUCCAUAGCAUGAACAACAAUCAUACCAUAGGCUAGCUUCUAGGGUUUAGCCUCCUUGAUCUCGUGGUAGAUCUACUCUUGUAAUACCCGCAUCAUCAAUAUCAAUCAAGCAGGACGUAGGGUUUUACCUCCAUCAAGAGGGCCCGAACCUGGGUAAAACAUCGUGUCCCUUGUCUCCUGUUACCAUCCGCCUAGACGCACAGUUCGGGACCCCCUACCCGAGAUCCGCCGGUUUUGACACCGAUAGGCGGACUGGAUGGAAAAGGCACGCUAGGAGGGGAUCAAAUAAUAUGUAUGGACGGGCAUUCUCUCACUGAAGCACACUACACAGUUCUACAGAAUUCCGCCUUGGUGACUCCGUAUAUGGAGGAACACAAGAAUUUUCUACACUCCAAACACCCGGAGAAGUCUGACGACUGGAUUACACGUGAACAAACAAGGACUUUCGCCGGUUGGUUGCAGAAACGUGCCAUGCACGAUGGCGAUAUUGAAGAUGACCUAUACUCGCUGUCCCAGUUACCAUCUCCGAAUAUAAUGACUUUCAAAGGGUACCGAAUAAAUGGGAAUACAUUUUACACGAUCGCCCAAGAUAAGACGAGCACCGGCCAGGUGGCUACGCGGUGGGAAUGCCUAGGUGGGAUAAGUCUGAGCAAGAGAUGGAGGGUGCAGGGGUCACUCCGAUUACUAGGAGCUGGCCCCCCAGGUGCAGAACUUGGUUCUAUGCGCAUGGGGGGGCGUUGGACCCGAAGACAAUCCUGGUUUCGAAGAAGGCAAGUCUAAAAGGAGACGAACAAAAGAUACUUGACGCAAUAGAAGAAGCUCGAGCGGGGGUGUUCACGCCCAACAGAGAUAACGACGAGCUUACGCGCGCCCUGGGAAAUCCUGAACACCCGGGAAGAAUACGAGGCAUGGGCGUUAUUCCCUGGUAUGAGGGCUUUUUGGACUGGAACGAUGACUAUAGGUCCCGUGCAAGAAAGAAGAUGGAGGAGGAGAAGAAGAGGAAGCUGGAGGAAGAGCAGAGGAAGCAGGACGCAGAACGCCUUCAAGGCCUAGAAGCAAGGCACGCGGACUUGGCACUCAAAUUCCAGUAGCAGCAGCAGCAGAUCGACUCGCUUAGCCAGGAAAGGGGGUCUCAGCAGCGGUAGUAGCAAGUGGAUGAUCAUCCAUCAUUGGAUAGCACUGUCCCAUCCAUGCCGAGAAGCAGCAUUGGUUCUGCCCCGGGCGACACACUGCUGGAUACAUACCAUCCUGUGGAUGACAUCAUAGAGAACACUAACUGUGAGCUACACUCCAAAAUGAAGAACAUAUCCAUGAAGGUGGCGGACGGCGUUGAUUUCACAAUUACCCCUGAAGCAACCUUCCAUUGCAUCCCGAUUCCAAAGGGCUAUGCUCGUGUCAUGGUUGAUGAAGUGGUGGAGCCAUAUUCGAUGCUAGCACUUGACAUUGCUAGAGGUGACGGCGAGCGCACACUGGGAGAGGCCGUACAUCGUAUCAUCCUAUGGAGAAAGUAUUGCAUCAUCUUUCCAAGUCCACCGACACCGCGUCGUCUGCCGACUCCUCCUCGAAGUCCGCCACCGAGUCAGCAGACUCCCGCUCCUCCAAGUCCACAAACGCGUGAGCCGACUCCUCCUUGAAGUCCGCCACCACCUCCAAGUCCCCGAACGCUUGAGAAGACUACUCCUUCAUGUCCGGCACAGCGUCAGGCCACUCCUCCUGCUUCAAGUCCGGCACAGCGUCAGCCACGUCAGUCGUCUCUGCCGUCUCAGUAAUCGCAGAAGAGACACGCCGCAGCUAUGGUGCGUAGCGGUACGAGUCGAGGUAGUGCAGGAAGUACAGGCGGAGACAAGCGAUAUAAAUAUGGCCCAAGCAUCGCUCCUCUUCCUGAAAGGCCUUACGACAUGACCGAGGAGCAAAAUGCAGCCAUAGUGCAGGCCCAAGUGGACGCCCAUUUUGGACAGAAACCGGCACCGCCGCCAAAGGAGAAAGUGCCUGAGAAAACGAUUGACCACUUCAUUCAUAUGGCUAGAGCACCAGCUCCCAAGCCCGUUGACUCAGACUAUGAGCGUCAAAUCAGGAAGCUACAUCGAGCACGUCUACAGAAGGAAGCGAGCUCGAGCUCGAGCCAACAAGCAGCUGGCAAAAAAUGCGGGAAAACCGUUCCCCAGCUGGGAGAACAGGCGGCGCAAGCGAUCCCCCCGCUUGUUGUGCCAACAACACAUGAGAGGAGUACGCGCGCCAAAUAUUAUUGUGGGCAAACCGUUAGCGUUUCCCAGCAAGGCGAUGUGGUAAUAACGAAGGAGUAUAUAAUGCAGGCUGAAAUGCUCAAGAUCUUUGUUGGACAACUCCUCAAAAUCGAGCCCAUGUCUCCGCUUAGAGAAUCGGAAAUAAAAUAGAAAUAUGUCCGGGGCCAACCUUUGGUCCAUCUAGACAAGGUCAAGGACCUCCCAACGAGAAUGUAUGAAUUGCAUCAAUGGUACAUGAACAUUACCAAGAUUUCCAAUCGAGAGUCCCUCAUGGUGAAUGUCAAGCAUAAGCAUUAUUACCAUGAGAAAGCUCUGGCCGUUGAGUAUCCAGAACUAUUUCAGUUAUACAAUCAAGACGCACUCGACAAGUCUAUCGGAAGUUGCUAUUGUCUGUAAGUGAUUUCUUUCUGUAAUUUAAGUCUCAAGCUAGUUAUGUAGUGAUAAUUUUGAUCAAUCAUUACAUGUAAUUAUUCUCACUAUAUUCUUUUCUGUGGUAUUAUAUGCAGGAUGAAGAUGUAUGAAAUAAAAAAAUCUAGACGCUAUGGCAUUGGGUUCGUUGACCCAAAUACCAUUAAUAAGGACAUAUGGAAGCUUCCAUUUUAUCAAGCAGGUGUAGAGGAAAGCAUGCUAGAGUUCUUGAAGCGCCUCAAUACCAAUGAAGAUAUACUACUUCCUUACAACUUCCCGUGAGUCAAACUGUCUUGUACUACAAAUUCUGUUUUUGCUUACUAGCUAGCUAGAUGUUAAUAAUUAAGUGUAUACGGUUUACGGUAGUUGAUUGAUUUUAUGCACAUGCCCGCUUAAUUAAGACAAGCAAACGUGUGUGCAUGUAGUUGGCACUGUGUCUUGUUAGACACAAAGUUGAGGAAAGAAGAGUUGAAUUACUGGACUCACUAACUAAAGAAGAUAAAGACUUCACCAUCGUGAAGGGGAUAGUCAACAGGUAAUUUCAAUCAUUAUUAACUAUAUCUCGGCCUAUUAUUAGUUCGUCAUUUCCUGAUAUGAACUAUUUAAUAACCCCUUUAUUAAUUUUCUUUGCCGGCGGGCAGGGCAUGGGCAAAGUUCAUCAAGGUGACUCCAGACAACUGGGCAAAAAAGUUGUUUUGGCAUCGACCAAAAGUAAGUAAUUAAGUAGUACUAGCUAGCCACCAUCUCUUUAAUUCUUGUUUCAAUAUCAUUAAUUAAUUAUCAUGCUUGAUUAAUCAUUAUCUGAUUCAAUUCCAUUCUCGUAAAGGCCCUGAAGCAGGCGUCGGGGAAUAAUCUGUGUGCAUUCUACGUUUGCGAGAACAUUCGCAUGAUGACGUCCGAAAGGAGCAGAUCUGAUAGACAGGACUGGGUACGUUUGUCAGAACACUAUUCACACCAUUAUCGAUAUCUAGUCACACAACUAACACACAUGCAUAUUGAUCUCCUUAACAGUUCAGAGAGGUGCGGGAUAAGCUCCUACCAUCGGACCGCAUACUAGCACUUCAAGAGGAAAUAGCCGGAUUUUUGCUUGACCAUGUCAUAGAUCCCAAAGAAGAAUACUAUUACCCGCUACCGCGCCCAUGAACCACUUGUCAUCGUGCACUGGAGGCACCAAGGCAACAUAUGUAGGAGAAAUUGUAUAUGUAUAUACAUGUGGAUGUGUGAAUAAUUAAUGGUGUUGGUUGUGAGACAUUUGAUGAUAUAUAUGUAUAUAUAUGCGGUUCUACGUACGAGAAAAUCUAUUUAUAUAUAUGCAUAACGUGUACAAUUUGUAGUAUCGUGAAAUACCAGCAAAAAAAAUUUGAAUAAAAAAUAAAGCCAAAACCCCCCAAACAUUUAGUACCGGUUGGUGUUACCAACCGGUACUAAUGUCCUACGCGCACACGGGUCUGGCUCGUGCCACGUGGUGUCACUUUAGCGCCGGUUCGUGACGAACCGGUACUAAAAGGGGAAGGCUUUAGUCCCCACUCUUUAGUGCCUGUUGGCAAACCGGCACUAAAGACCGUUAAGAACCGGCACUAAAGGACGGUUCUGCACUAGUGAUAUCUGAAAAGGCAUAUGUUCAAUAAAAAAAGAAAAAUAAUUGCCGACACCUAGUGCAUAGCAAUGAAUCAAAGCCUAUCUAAUUAAAACGAAAACAUAAUACACGGAACAAGCAUAAAGAACAUGUAGAAGGUACAUUUUUCCAUCAAUAGAGCUUCAGAAUUAACUUCAGUGAAACAUUCAUGUUAUCACAAGAGUGUGAUGUGCAUAUAUAUAUUCAUGAAAAACUGGAAGUUCCGUAGAAAAAUAUACCAUCUUUCAAGAAAAACACUACUUUUGAGAGAUCAUACUGGCAUGCAAAAUUGGUUUUCUUUCAAAUGAUAAUUAGGAAGUUCUAAAACUCCAGGUCAUUCUCCAGCGGCACUACUUUCAGUUUUCCACUCCAAUUGUAUCGGCCACAACAUUGAUCCAGAUUUUGCAGAAACACUUAUAUUGUUGAACUGAACUUGAUCUCAAGUCAAUGUUUAGUUUAUAAAUAAUUUCUAUAAGUGAUAUAUCUUUCAGUGUAGAUACAUUCCUUGAUGGUGUGUAUUUCUCAAGACUACUUAGUGAAAAUAUAGCAGACAUCAAAUGAAAUGUAUAAUUUUGUAAUGGAAAAUCAAAAUGAAUGCCACAGAAAGACCCCAAAACGUCAUAUAAGAUCACCAUUAACCAUCCAAAUCUAAGGUCACUGCAUUCGUUAUGAACAAAUUCUUUGCCGCGAAACUAAACCAAGCCAACACUAAUUAUGUUUCAUUAUAGGAGACGAUAGUUAUUUCUUCAUUUAAAGUGUUGAUAUGGCUCCACCAUGGUAUUAGAUGUUGCCUUUUACUAUACGUUGUGAUAUCAUCUUUUUUUCUAAUCUAGUAAAACAUCUUCAUAUAGGUCUCACAAUACGAAAACCCUCCUCCGCACGCGUGCGUUGGCUGGGUGAUGAAGCGCUCUGCACAAUAAGUGAGGUUCCCACCGCGUGUUUCCAAACUUCCGCAUGUCGCUUAAUUGAGAAUGGUGGCCCCAUAUAGCAUAGCAGCCCACAGCCAUGGAAUCAAAUGUCUUGGGCCCACCCCACCUGUUACGCGCAUUUGUGAAAGGGCUAGUUCUGCUGGCAUCACGGUUUUCACUUUCAGUCAUAUAUCUUUGAAUUUCACCAAAUUCCGGUAGACCACGAAAUAUUUACCUUUCGGUCAAAAUAUUUCAGUCAUUUCGGUUGUACACAUGAAUUCAAAUAUUUUUUUAAACAUUUUCAAAUAUUUUUUUGAAUUUCAAGUGAAUAUUUUGGUCUUUUGGUCAAGAUGCAAACCGAAAUUACUGGAACUUAGUAAUUUUGGUAGGUACUGAAAUAUUUCUGAAACAGAAAUGAAAAAAACAUGGGUGGCAUGGCAUGCAGGCCCACCCCGUGAUCAAUAUAAAAUCUCCACCUAAAUUUCUGGUGGGGUGGGGGCUAGUUUCCCUAGAAUAAUGAAUAAUCAAAGGAAACAAAAAUAUCACUGCAUAGUUUCCUAAUAGGGACGUGGACAGCCAGUCGAAAAUCGANNNNNNNNNNNNNNNNNNNNNNNNNNNNNNNNNNNNNNNNNNNNNNNNNNNNNNNNNNNNNNNNNNNNNNNNNNNNNNNNNNNNNNNNNNNNNNNNNNNNNNNNNNNNNNNNNNNNNNNNNNNNNNNNNNNNNNNNNNNNNNNNNNNNNNNNNNNNNNNNNNNNNNNNNNNNNNNNNNNNNNNNNNNNNNNNNNNNNNNNNNNNNNNNNNNNNNNNNNNNNNNNNNNNNNNNNNNNNNNNNNNNNNNNNNNNNNNNNNNNNNNNNNNNNNNNNNNNNNNNNNNNNNNNNNNNNNNNNNNNNNNNNNNNNNNNNNNNNNNNNNNNNNNNNNNNNNNNNNNNNNNNNNNNNNNNNNNNNNNNNNNNNNNNNNNNNNNNNNNNNNNNNNNNNNNNNNNNNNNNNNNAUUCACCCAAAAAAUAAUUCAAAUAUAAUUUUAGCCUGACCUGCCUGUACCUCCACAAUGUAAUGGGCUACUGUUGUUUGCAAGUAAUUGUUUCCUAAUGUUAUGACUGAAUAUGGAUUGUCUCAUGAGACGUAUAGGGGGUUUUGCCUCCUAGGCAGGUUUUAUGGCAAAAUUGAUAGUUUCGUCAUGGAAGGACCGAUGUUUAUGACACAAGCACAAAACAUCACAGAUAAUUCAUCGUAGAAGGCCAAAAUAUUACUAGUACAAGGUAUCUUGGGGAUCAUCAAUUGGAUAUGUAAUUUGCACAUACUUGUGCCCUCUACACAUUCUUUCGUUUAUUGGAAUUUCUGUAAUACUGCAAAAAAAAAUAGUACCUAAUUGCGGUGUAAAAUGGUUAGAAAAAAUGGCAUGUCUUUGAUGAAUCGAUGCAGGAAUAUGGCUCACAGGACAAGUGCAUUAUAGUAGGUUUGUCCUUGUCUUGUUUUGACACCUUUGUUUGUCCUUUUUUCUUCCUUUCUUUUUUGCUUUUUUUGUUAUUAUCUGUUUCUCGUCAAUUCCCUACUGUUUUGCCACUAGUUUUCAAGGGGGUCUCACCAUCUUUUAUGUGUUUCUCCACUCUAAAGUACUUUGCUAUUCCAUCACAAUUUUAGCAUUAGAAAAUACACAAUAUAUGAUUGAGCAAAAAAUGCAUGAGAAGAAAACAAUGCAAGACAUAGGCAUUUCCAGCUGCAAACAAAGUAACCAUUCCAUCGAUUGAUGGCAAGACACUAAUCCGUUGAUUGCAUAUAAUAUAUAUGUGUAUGUAUAGCCGGUGCUAUAAUUCUCAUAUGCAUCCUCCUCGACCUACGUUGGUAGGCGCUUACAUACAUAUGCUCAUAUAUUCACAUAUGAGUAGAACGAGAAGUAAAACUGAGAAAGCAGAGCUGCCGACAAAUGUGAACUAACAUGACAUGUAUAUCAGUUAUUUCAACUUGCACUUUAGGCCUUGCCAGAUUCCUCGCAACCUGGUGGCCUGAAGGCAAUGAAGCUGACGCAUUGCACUUGGCGCAUGUUGUCGAAGCCGAUGACGCGGACAUAGGCGUCAGGGUACUCCUUCUUAACCUCCUCCACCUCGUUGAGCACCUGUGUGGCGUCGGUGCACCCGAACAUAGGCAGCUUCCACAUUGUCCAGUAUCGACCGUCGUAGUACCCGGGGGAGCUGUUGUGCUCACGGAAGACAAAGCCAACCUUGCUGAACUCGAGGCAGGGUACCCACUUGGAGCGGAUCAAGUAGUCGACCUGCUUUAGGAGGGCCUCCGUAGAGAGGGGUGGCAAGUAAGACAGGGUCUCAAACUUCUUGAUGCCCUCAAUUGGCCACACCUGAAUAGAUGGAAUGAACACAAUUGAUCAACACUUAGUGCUUAAAGAAAGACCUAACAAUAAGGCAAAAAUUACUCCUUAUGGUCUUCCAUACAUUGUGGGGGGUCUCGACAAGCAAGAAAGCUCAAGGACAGCUCUUGCUUAUGGGUAGUGUACGGGCAUUAAAAAUGAUAUUAUCUACUCCCUCCGUUCCAAAUUAGUCGUUGCUGAAAUGGAUGUAUUUAGAACUAAAAUACAUCUAGAUACAUUCAUACGUGCGAUAAGUAAUUCGGAACGGAGGGAGUAGUACACAUUGCAAUAAAAUCGAUUUCCAUUCACCAAGUUUAUGAGUUAAAUAUUCCUACACAUGUGAACCUGCUUACGGACUACAUUGUGAUGCACUAUCUAUGUUUAGUUGGCCUGGUAUGUUGGUUACACGUCCUAAGGAUAGCUUUGCCUUUGUGCAGUGGAAAUACCCAAUAAAUUAAUCAAUUGGGCCGACAAGAAUAUUCAUGGCAGCUUAGUGUCCGUCAUCCUUCGGGAAAAAAAUUGAAAAGAAAGAUAACCUCAGCCUCUGUAUCAAGGAUGCAUACUGUCAAUUUUAUUAUGUUAUUCAAUUGUGUCUAACAAAAAAAUGCAGUUUUAAUUCAAAACCACCUUCCAGACGAACAAAAUUGCUACACCUAUAAGUAUGAUGAUGUGCCUUGACCGCACCAUCCUUCGCCAAAAUAAUAUUUAGCUUUCAUACCUGCAUGCAUCUGAUCCUUCCGCCAUUGCUGACGCUGCUGAGGCCGGCGCUGCCGGAGCGGCGGCUGACUGGGAGGCCGGCGGUCGACUUGAGCCCCUGGAAGGGUGCGACGGUGGUGGCGGACGAAGCCAUCACGGCUGGGGCCAUGGCGGAGUACGUGAAUUGCUAGGUGGGGAGGCGAUAGCUAGCUAGGCCACACUUGACUUGAGGCCUCCUCAUGCCGCUCCAGUAUAUAUCAGCAUAUGCGCAGCGCCGGUCCUUUCAAACGAGAUUUCGAAGGGGUGGUCGUCGUUUGCUUGCUGCAAGGCGCCUUAUCCCUCUAGAUCAGCGGAAGAGGGGUGGAAAAUAAAAAUGAAUGCGACGGAAAGACCCCAAAACGUCAUAUAAGAUCACCAUUGAUCAUCCAAAUCUAAGAGCAUCUCCGGCCGUGCCCCCAAUACGGACCCCUCACGCGAUUUUUUCGCCCCGGCGCCGAAAAAACGGUCCAGUCGUGCCCUCGGGAGCCCGUUUUUCGCCGGCUUGGUCCGAAAUCAGUGCCGGCGGACCCAGGCCGAACCCGGGGCGAGCGGUUUUGGCGCGAAAGAGACGUGGGUCCGUCGAGUCAGCGACGCGCGUGCCUCGUCGUCAUCGGAACGCCUCGGUUUUCCGCGUGGAAUCAAUGGCAAGGCUGACGGGCAGCCUUGCCAUUGAUUCCUCACAGGCGGCACGUCACGGGCGGCGCGGCAACGCCUUCCCUCCCGCCACGCGUAUACACGGCGCGGGCUAUAUAAACCGGUGGCCUCCCUUGCCUCUGGCCACACCAGCCCACAGCCGCGCAUCGACCGCCGCCGAGCUCUCCCUCUCUCUCCAUGUGCAGCCGCUCGCCGACGCUUCUCCCUCCCCCCCCUCUCCCAAGCCCGAUGGCCGCGCGAUUCCCCGGCGACGCGGCGGCAGCAAACGGCUUCGGCCGCCGCUCGCUCCACGAGUGGGAGGCCUGGCUACUCUUUGAGGCGAACAUCCCGGCGCCACUGGACAUGCGCGCCGGGCCGAUGGGGUGGAGGCUCAGCAACGGGGGUGUGCCCAUUCUUCCGUUGCCCGACGUCGAGGCGCGCCCCGCCUUCUUCGCCGCCGAGGUCGACCGUGUGUGAGCCUCCCUGACAAAGGAGCAGCGCGCCCUCCCCCAGUACGCCGCCGACAACCACGCGUCGUGGGCGGCGUACUUCCAGCACCGCCAGGAGCAGAGGCUGGCGUCCACAUACGGGGCGCCGGUGGUGGGUAGCGUCAAGAACAACGAGGGCCGCCGUGUAUGGUGGGGCGCCCCCGGCCGCACGCUCCAGGACGUGUUGAAGCACAUCGAGUGCGGCAACGACCCGCCGCUAGCAUACCCUGCUGCGGUGGCCGCCCCGGUCCACCGCCGGAGCGCCGGGCAAUGGAUGCCCAGGAGGUUCGGCUCCUCCUCAACUUCCUCCUCCCACUCCUCCUCCCGCUCCUCUUCCCAUUCCUCCGGCUCGCCGGCGGUGUUCGUCGUCAAGGCUGAGCCCGUAGCGGAGACGCCGCUCGGCCGGCGCACUCGCAGCGCCGGCAUCGUCAUAAAUGAGGGCGCCCGGCGCGCAUCCUCCUCGUCUCCUCCAUGCUUCGUCAAACCGAAGACAGAGCCGGGGCUCGCGGCCGUGAAAACAGAGCCGGGGCUCCCCUCCGUGAAGACGGAGCACGACACCGGGGAGCUCGAUGACGCGGUGGCCUGAAAUGGGCGCGCGAUGACUGGGUGCACAUGGAGAUGGAGCGCCAGCGCUGCGCCCUAGAGCAGUUGAAACAUCAGCGCUGGGGCCGCGACGAGGGAGGCGUCGUCGUCCUCGACGACAGCGAUGACGACGACGCGCCGCCACCGACACCGGUCUUCGAUGGCGACGCCGGGUAGGGGUCCAGCAGGGGCAACCGCUUCAAGGAGGAGAAGGCCUCCGAUGACGACGGCGAGGAUGGUGGCGACGGUGGCGACUUCGCCGCGCUCAGCGACUUCUUCGGUCCGUAGUUGUAGUUUCGGCUUUUUAAUAAUAAAUUUGCUAUGUAAAAUGUCGAACAUGUCUAAUAUAUGCCAAGUUUGCCGAAUUUUAGCCAAAUUUUAGCUGAACUUUGCCGAAUACUCUUUUCUUUUUAACAUAAACGGCGUCUGGGGCGGCCCUGGGGUCGGCGGCUAGGAACCCACUCGUCCCCAGGCCGAUUUUUUGCGCCGGCUCGCCCCCAGCGGCGAUUUUACGCGCCCCCUGGGGGGCCAACGGCUGGAGAUGCUCUAAGGUCACUGCAUUCGUUAUGAACAAAUUCUUUGGUGCGAAACUAAACCACACCAACACUAAAAUUCAUGAAGGAAAGCCAUCCAUACUCUUAUGUUUCAUUAUACGAGACAGUAAUUAUUUCUUCAUUUAAAUUGUUUAUGUGGCUCCACCAUGGUAUUAGAGGUGGCAUUUUCCUAUACGAUGUGAUAUCAUCAUUUUUUUUCUAAUUUAGUAAAACUUCUUCAUAUAGGUCUCACAAUCUGAAAAUCCUCAUUCGCGUGCAGGCGUUGGGUGGGUGAAGCGCUCCGCACAAUAAUUCAGGUUCCAACCGCACGCUACAUUCCCUUUCAAACUUUCACAUGUCGUUUAAUUGAGAAUGGUGGUCCCAUAGUAUAGCAGUCCCACUGCCAUGGAAUUUAAUGUGUUGGGCCCACCCCACCUGUUACGCGCAUUCGCAGAAGGGCUAGUUGUGUUGGCAUCAUGGUUUUCACUUUUAAUGAUAUAUCUUUGAAUUUCACCAAAUUUCAGUAGACAGCGAAAUAUUUACCUUUCGGCCAAAAUAUAUCAGUCAUUUUAGUUGUACACAUGAUUUCAAAUAUUUUCAUAUAUUUUCUUCAAUUUCGAGUGAAUAUUUUGGUCUUUUGGUCAAAAUGCAAACAGACAUUACUGGAACUUAGUAAUUUUGGUAGGUACUGAAAUGAAAAAACAUGGGUGCCAUGGCAUGCAGGCCCACCACCGUGAUCAAUAUAUAAUCUCCCACUAAAUUUCAGGGAGGGGGGGCUAGUUUCCCUACAAUAAUGAAUAAUCCAGGGGAACGGAAAUAUCACUGCACACUUUCCUAAUAGGGACGUGGACAGCCAGUCGGAAAUCGACCACGCGGACGCGCGUGCGAAUUAGCCUCCCCCCGGCAUGCGUGUACCUCCACAAUGUAAUGGGCUAUUGUUGUUUGCAACUAAUUGUUUCCUAAUGUUAUGACUGAAUAUGGAAAAAAAAUUCAUGAGACAUAUAGGGUUUGUGCCUCUUAGGCAGGUUUUAUGACAAAAUUGAUAGUUUCGUCAUGGAAGGACCGAUCUUUAUGACACCAACACCAAACAUCACAGAUAAUUCAUGGUAGAAGGCCAAAAUAUUACUAGUACAAGGUAUCUUGGGGCUCAUCAAUUGGAUAUGUGAUUUGCACAUAUUUGUGCCCUCUACACGUUCUUUGGUUUAUUGGAAUUUCUGUAAUACUGCAAAAACAAGUAUCUAAUUGUGGUGUCAAAUGGUUAGAAAAACUGACAUGUCUUUGAUGAAUCGAUGCAGGAAUAUGGCUCACAUGACAAGUGCAUUAUGAUAGGUUUGUCCUUGUCUUGUUAUGACACCUUUGUUUGUCCUUUUUUCUAGUUCUUUAAUUUGUUUUUGUUUUUUUGUUAUUAUCUGUUUCUCGUGAAUUCCGUAUUGUUUUGCCAUUAGUUUCCAAUGGGUCUCGCCAUCUUUUAUGUGUUUCUCCACAGUAUUUUUUUAAGUACUUUGGUAUUCCAUAACAAUUUCCAUAUUAGACAAUACACAACAUAUGAUUGAGCAAAAAAUGCAUGAGAAGAAAACAAUGCAAGACAUAGGCAUUUCCGGCUGCAAACAAACCAACCUUUCCAUCGAUUGAUGGCAAGACACUAAUGCGUUGAUUGCAUAUAAUAUAUAUGUAUAUGUAUAGCCGGUGCUAUAAUUCUCAUAUGCAUCCUCCUCGACCUACAUUGGUAGGUGCUUACAUACAUAUGCUCAUAUAUUCACAUAUAUAUGAGUAGAACGAGAAGUAAAACUGAGAAAGCAGAGCCGCCGACAAAUGUGACUAACAUGACAUGUAUAUCGGUUACUUCAACUUGCACUUUAGGCCUUGCCGGAUUCCUCGCAACCUGGUGGCCUGAAGGCAAUGAAGCUGACGCAUUGCACCUGGCGCAUGUUGUCGAAGCCGAUGACGCGGACAUAGGCAUCAGGGUACUCCUUCUUAACCUCCUCGACCUCGUUGAGCACCUGUGUGGCAUCGGUGCAGCCGAACAUAGGCAGCUUCCACAUUGUCCAGUAUCGACCGUCGUAGUACCCGGGGGAGCUGUUGUGCUCACGGAAGACGAAGCCAACCUUGCUGAACUCGAGGCAGGGUACCCACUUGGAGCGGAUCAAGUAGUCGACCUGCUUUAGGAGGGCCUCCGUAGAGAGGGGUGGCAAGUAAGACAGGGUCUCGAACUUCUUGAUGCCCUCAAUUGGCCACACCUGAAUAGAUGGAAUGAACACAAUUGAUCAACACUCAGUGCUUUAAGAAAGACCUAGCCAUAAGGCAAAAAUUACUCCUGAUGGUCUGUCCAUACAUUGUGGGGGUCUCCACAAGCAAGAAGGCUCAAGGGCAGCUCUUGCUUAUGGGUAGUGUACGGGCAUUAAAAAUGAUAUUAUCUAGUACACAUUGCAAUAAAAACGAUUUCCAUUCACAAAGUUUAUGAGUUAAAUAUUCCUACGCAUGUGAACCUGCUUAUGGACUACAUUGGGAGGUUUAGUUUGGCCUGGUACGUGGGUUACACGUCUAAAGGAUAGCUUUGCCUAUAUGCAGUGGAAAUACCUGAUAAAUUAAUUAAGUGUGACGACAAAAACAUUCAUGAGAGCUUAGUGUCCGUAAUCCUUUGCCAAAAAAAAAUCAAAAAGGAGGAUAUCCCAACCUCUGCAUCAAGCGAUGCAAACUGUCAUUUUGAUUAUGUUAUUCAACAUAGUCUAACAAAAUAAAUACGAUUUCAAACCAAAACCAUCUUCCAGUCGGACAAAAUCGCUACACCUACAAAUACGAUGAUGUGCCUUGACCGCACCAUCGUUGGCAAAAAUAAUAUUCAGCUUUCAUACCUGCAUGCAUCUUAUCCUUCCGCCAUUGCUGACGCUGCUGAGGCCGGCGCUGCCGGAGCGGCGGCUGACGGGGAGGCCCGCGGUCGACUUGAGCCCCUGGAAGGGCGCGACGGUGGUGGCGGAGGAAGCCAUCAUGGCGGGAGCCAUGGCGGAGUACGUGAAUUGCUAGGUGGGGAGGCGAUAGCUAGUUAGGCCACACUUGUCUUGAGCCCCCCUCAUGCCGCUCCAGUAUAUAUCACAAUAUGCGCGGCGCCGCUCCUUUCCAACAAGAUUUUGAAGGGGUGGUCGUUGUUUCCCUGUUGCAGAACGCCUUAUCCCGAGGGAUCAGCGGAAGAGGGGUGGCCCUCCGAUGCAUUGCGUCUGGCUGCUGCAUUGGCAAACGAAAUUUAUAUCAGUCCGAUUACUAAGCAUUACAAUAAUUGUGCGAUCGUUAGAUUUGGGCCUGCGCCUUUCUUAGUCUUCAUCUAUGGCUUCCAGUAAUUUUGAUUUAUUUUGUUUCCGGAAAGUUACUGCUCCCAGAAAUUACUCCUCCAAGAUUUGUGUGUAAUUGCAC